RNAcentral lists this long non-coding RNA (82269 nucleotides) under Ananas comosus (pineapple). Its description in RNAcentral is "long non-coding RNA (ACOM_LNC029791)". The record is from RNAcentral. Lineage: Eukaryota; Viridiplantae; Streptophyta; Magnoliopsida; Poales; Bromeliaceae.
CUUAUCUUAUUAGAUGGAAAAUAAGUUGAAGAGAAUACUAAAAUAGGAAUAAUUGCCUAUAUACCUCUCAUACAUUUGAAAAUAUCCGAUUUAUCCCUACUUUUUUUUCAUAUGUUCCACCGUUAUUGCAAAAUACUUCCGCAGUUAUCUCCUGUUAAGUUAACUUGAGUUAAACGUAAGUUAAAUAUCUACUACAGUUAAAAAAAAUUAAAAUGCCAAUUUUUCCCUUAACUUAAGGGCAAAUAAGAAAUGUUGGUGACGGUAAAGAGUUAUAUUGGAAAAGACCAAAAGUCAAAAUACUUUUUGUGCCCUUAACUUUAAGGGCAAAUAAGAAAAUCAGUGAUGGUGGAAGGGUAUAUUUGAAAGGGCAAAAUAAUAAUUUUACAGAGUUAACAAGGUUAAUUAACAGAUUUUAACUCUAAGGGUAUAUGAGAAAUAGGUUGGAACGUAAAGAGGGUAUUUUCAAUAUUAGUCUUUUAACGAAAAGUUAACGAAAGGAUCGACGAAAAGAGAAAAAUAAAACUAUAUGAUACUAAAUUAAUAUACUUUAAACCACAUAAUAUUGAAAUGAGAAACUGCGAAAUUACAGGGGCGGUAUUUGAAGUUUAUCCUUUUUUUUAAUCAAACCAUAAUAAGAAAUUCAGUUUCUAAAAAUCCCACUCUUUAUCCUUUACUCUUAGUUAAGCAAACAUGCUCUUAAUAAAAUAAUUACUUAUAAUUACAUAUAAACAUAUCCGUACAAGCAUAUAUAACGGUGCAUCAACUUGAUCAAUAUGGGCGGUGUGUAUGUACGGCCGAUAUGACAAUUGACAAAUGAAUAAUAAUAUAAUUUUUUUUAAAAAAAAUAACGAUUGGAUAUGAACGCCAUCACUAGGCUUAUUAAUUUAGUUCGCUGUUCGUGAGCUAGUUAGCUCGAUCAUUCUCGAUUUAAAAUUGGUUCGAACUCAGCUCGUUCUUUUAAUAAACCACUCGAUCGCAAGCUCAUUUUUCCAACGCGAAAAAUAAAUGAGCCGAAUAUGAGCUCAUCCUAGCUAACAAGUGUUUGGAGCGAUAUAUAUAGCUCGAGAAAAAAAAUAAAAAUAAUAAUAUGUAUAAAUAUUGUUUUUAGAUUAAUAUAUAUAUUUUUAAAUUUUAAUGAUAGUUGAUAAUACUAAAAGCAAAAACAAGCGCCAACAAAUAAUAAAAUAAUAAUAAUACUAAUUAUAAUUAGUACUAAUAUUUAAUUUAAUUUAAUUUAAUUUAAGCUGGCUCGGGUUACUUUUGAUUCGAUUUCAAGCUGGUCUCAGCUCACUUGUGUUUGUCUCGUUGACGGCCCUACGGAUAACGCAAGUGAGAUGGUCUUAUCCCUCAUCUAUCAACUAUAGUGUUCGAAUUUUAAAGCGGCGUGGAUAAUGAAUUAUGUUGUCGGGUGUUGAAAGGGCACUACACUAUAAUUACUUCAAUGGACUCUCUCUCUCCCUCUCUCAAGAAAAAAAAAAAAAAAAAAAAAAAAACCUAGCUUAAUGCGAUAUAUUUUCUGGUGUGAGACUAUUAUGCUUUUGAAGUAUCUAGAAAAUAAAUUUUAUGAUUUUUCGAUAUCAUUUGCCUAGUGAUCGACGGGGCUCAAAAUUAAUAAUUUUAAUAGCCGUAGUGAGCCGUUUGCAAGUUUAACGGUGUAGAAAUAUACCGACCGUCUCUAGAGCAAGUGGUAAAGGGCUUGAUGGUUGGUACCCAAGAUCCAAGUUCGAAUUCUAGUUGAUUCAUAUUUCUAACUAAGUUUAUUUCUAAAUGAAAUAAACGAAGCGGGUAGCGUACUACCUAUCUCUCAAAAAAAAAAUGGUGUAGAAAUAUUCAAAUCACGUGAAAUUUUGGUAGAAAAUUCUUUAUACUAUAUAAAACAAGAUUAAUAUCUUUGAUCUAAAAUUUUAAUGUCAUAUUAUCACAUUUUGUAUGAUUUUUAGUUUCAGCCGUUGAUUUUGAGCCCCUUCGUUCACUAGGCAAAUAAUAUCGAAAAAUUGCAUAAUUUAUUUUCUAGGUAAUUCAAAUACUCUAGAUCAAGCUUAACGGAGCCGAUCGACGGUUCGAAAAUUCGCAACAUAGAAAACGACAUGGAAGCACGGAAGGUUCCGUGCUUCCAGAAGCAUAGUAGGCUUACUCACAUAUUGAAAAAUAUAAAUAUAAAAGAAUAUAAAAUUUGAAUUAUAUACUUAAUUAUACCUUAUGCAUUGAAUAAUUUCUUCUUUUAUAUGUGGAUUAAUUUUUGGAAUUACUUGAUAUAUAUCAAUAUUAUAGGUUUCUUUAGGGGUUGUAAUAUUUUUAUAUCUUAGACUCUUUGAAAUUAAAUUACCUUUUCAUCUAUCAAAUUAAAUUUUAUUCUAAAAAUAUAUUGCAUUACCUUUUCAAGAUAUUAAUCAUUAAAUAUUUAGGGGUAAGGCUAGCUACAAUUAAUACUUCUAGAAGUAAACAGGAUGUGUUUCUGCGAUAAAUUAUCCAAAUUGAUGCUCGAUCGAUCUACGAUAUUUAAACUUUUUUGGGUUUUAAAUUUCGCAAUUUUAUAAUGUCCUUGCCUAGUAUUUCGAGCGAUCUCAAAAUUAAUAAUUUUAAAUGACUAAUAUAAAGUUAACUUGAGAUCAUCUGAUUACUGUAGGCUGUCUAUUAUUGUCGAAAAUAGGUUCAACUUUUUGCCACGUGAUAAUAGGCCUAAAACAUCAAUAGGUUGAGUUAGAUAAGUCUCCUGAGUUGAGUGUAGUUACCGUCAAUUGUGAACCCUAUCUAUUAAUCAAUACGUGCUUUUGGAAUAGCUAGUUUGCGUCUCAAUCCACAAAUAAUAUAACGGUACAGAUGGCGGGAGAAAAGGGGGAUGUUGUUGGAUUGUUGACUAUCUAUUAGGUUCAGUUUCCUGUCCCAUGAUAAUAGGCCUAGGAGACUGAUAAAUCUAAUUAAUUGGGUAAGCCCUAAUAAGUUGAAUAUGACUGCAAUUCAUAAUAGAGCUAAUGUCCAGAUUGAGUUGAGCCUGUAAGCGUUAUGGUUGUCCUUAUGUGCGAUGAGCGCGUUUCUUCCAAUCAGCUCGAAAACUACGAUCGGUACGUUUUCUUCCUAUCAGCUCCAAAACUUCAAAUGGCUUGAACAUAAACUCCUCCAUUUAUUUAUUUAUUUAUUUAUUUAUUCCCUAAGAUAGCGUUUGGUUCGGGAACAAGGGGGAAAAUAAGCCCUUGUUCCCCCCUUUGUUCCCAAACGCAGCGUUUGGUAACCGAGAACAGUAGUUUCUGGGUUUCUGAAAUUAGCUGGUAUAAGACUGGAACUAGCUGGAACUGCUGUUCCACCUUUUUCCUGGAACAAGCUUGUUCCCGAAUGAGAACAAGGUUAAUUAAAUAUAAAUUUAAAUUUUAAUGAUAGUAAAUUAUUAAUUAAUCUAAUUAAUAUAUUUGAAUUAUUAUCUAUUGCUNNNNNNNNNNNNNNNNNNNNNNNNNNNNNNNNNNNNNNNNNNNNNNNNNNNNNNNNNNNNNNNNNNNNNNNNNNNNNNNNNNNNNNNNNNNNNNNNNNNNNNNNNNNNNNNNNNNNNNNNNNNNNNNNNNNNNNNNNNNNNNNNNNNNNNNNNNNNNNNNNNNNNNNNNNNNNNNNNNNNNNNNNNNNNNNNNNNNNNNNNNNNNNNNNNNNNNNNNNNNNNNNNNNNNNNNNNNNNNNNNNNNNNNNNNNNNNNNNNNNNNNNNNNNNNNNNNNNNNNNNNNNNNNNNNNNNNNNNNNNNNNNNNNNNNNNNNNNNNNNNNNNNNNNNNNNNNNNNNNNNNNNNNNNNNNNNNNNNNNNNNNNNNNNNNNNNNNNNNNNNNNNNNNNNNNNNNNNNNNNNNNNNNNNNNNNNNNNNNNNNNNNNNNNNNNNNNNNNNNNNNNNNNNNNNNNNNNNNNNNNNNNNNNNNNNNNNNNNNNNNNNNNNNNNNNNNNNNNNNNNNNNNNNNNNNNNNNNNNNNNNNNNNNNNNNNNNNNNNNNNNNNNNNNNNNNNNNNNNNNNNNNNNNNNNNNNNNNNNNNNNNNNNNNNNNNNNNNNNNNNNNNNNNNNNNNNNNNNNNNNNNNNNNNNNNNNNNNNNNNNNNNNNNNNNNNNNNNNNNNNNNNNNNNNNNNNNNNNNNNNNNNNNNNNNNNNNNNNNNNNNNNNNNNNNNNNNNNNNNNNNNNNNNNNNNNNNNNNNNNNNNNNNNNNNNNNNNNNNNNNNNNNNNNNNNNNNNNNNNNNNNNNNNNNNNNNNNNNNNNNNNNNNNNNNNNNNNNNNNNNNNNNNNNNNNNNNNNNNNNNNNNNNNNNNNNNNNNNNNNNNNNNNNNNNNNNNNNNNNNNNNNNNNNNNNNNNNNNNNNNNNNNNNNNNNNNNNNNNNNNNNNNNNNNNNNNNNNNNNNNNNNNNNNNNNNNNNNNNNNNNNNNNNNNNNNNNNNNNNNNNNNNNNNNNNNNNNNNNNNNNNNNNNNNNNNNNNNNNNNNNNNNNNNNNNNNNNNNNNNNNNNNNNNNNNNNNNNNNNNNNNNNNNNNNNNNNNNNNNNNNNNNNNNNNNNNNNNNNNNNNNNNNNNNNNNNNNNNNNNNNNNNNNNNNNNNNNNNNNNNNNNNNNNNNNNNNNNNNNNNNNNNNNNNNNNNNNNNNNNNNNNNNNNNNNNNNNNNNNNNNNNNNNNNNNNNNNNNNNNNNNNNNNNNNNNNNNNNNNNNNNNNNNNNNNNNNNNNNNNNNNNNNNNNNNNNNNNNNNNNNNNNNNNNNNNNNNNNNNNNNNNNNNNNNNNNNNNNNNNNNNNNNNNNNNNNNNNNNNNNNNNNNNNNNNNNNNNNNNNNNNNNNNNNNNNNNNNNNNNNNNNNNNNNNNNNNNNNNNNNNNNNNNNNNNNNNNNNNNNNNNNNNNNNNNNNNNNNNNNNNNNNNNNNNNNNNNNNNNNNNNNNNNNNNNNNNNNNNNNNNNNNNNNNNNNNNNNNNNNNNNNNNNNNNNNNNNNNNNNNNNNNNNNNNNNNNNNNNNNNNNNNNNNNNNNNNNNNNNNNNNNNNNNNNNNNNNNNNNNNNNNNNNNNNNNNNNNNNNNNNNNNNNNNNNNNNNNNNNNNNNNNNNNNNNNNNNNNNNNNNNNNNNNNNNNNNNNNNNNNNNNNNNNNNNNNNNNNNNNNNNNNNNNNNNNNNNNNNNNNNNNNNNNNNNNNNNNNNNNNNNNNNNNNNNNNNNNNNNNNNNNNNNNNNNNNNNNNNNNNNNNNNNNNNNNNNNNNNNNNNNNNNNNNNNNNNNNNNNNNNNNNNNNNNNNNNNNNNNNNNNNNNNNNNNNNNNNNNNNNNNNNNNNNNNNNNNNNNNNNNNNNNNNNNNNNNNNNNNNNNNNNNNNNNNNNNNNNNNNNNNNNNNNNNNNNNNNNNNNNNNNNNNNNNNNNNNNNNNNNNNNNNNNNNNNNNNNNNNNNNNNNNNNNNNNNNNNNNNNNNNNNNNNNNNNNNNNNNNNNNNNNNNNNNNNNNNNNNNNNNNNNNNNNNNNNNNNNNNNNNNNNNNNNNNNNNNNNNNNNNNNNNNNNNNNNNNNNNNNNNNNNNNNNNNNNNNNNNNNNNNNNNNNNNNNNNNNNNNNNNNNNNNNNNNNNNNNNNNNNNNNNNNNNNNNNNNNNNNNNNNNNNNNNNNNNNNNNNNNNNNNNNNNNNNNNNNNNNNNNNNNNNNNNNNNNNNNNNNNNNNNNNNNNNNNNNNNNNNNNNNNNNNNNNNNNNNNNNNNNNNNNNNNNNNNNNNNNNNNNNNNNNNNNNNNNNNNNNNNNNNNNNNNNNNNNNNNNNNNNNNNNNNNNNNNNNNNNNNNNNNNNNNNNNNNNNNNNNNNNNNNNNNNNNNNNNNNNNNNNNNNNNNNNNNNNNNNNNNNNNNNNNNNNNNNNNNNNNNNNNNNNNNNNNNNNNNNNNNNNNNNNNNNNNNNNNNNNNNNNNNNNNNNNNNNNNNAUAUAUAUAUAUAUAUAUAUAUAUAUAUAUAUAUAUAUAUAUAUAUAUAUGUGCUAGGAUAUGUGCUAGGAAAUACGAAAAAUAUAUACAUAUAUAUAUAAUAGUCUCGUAUCAGAUACAAACAGGCUAAAAUAAUUAAUAGUCGAUCUCUAAAUUGUAUAUACUUGAGGUUAUUAUCUUUCACUUUUAAAUUUAACUUUUGGAUUCGUUCGGAGUCUUUAAUGCCAGCAAAUUAACAUCACUUUGCAUCAGUAUAAGUAGUUUGUUUCACUGUAAUCUUUUUAUCUAUCACGUCUCAUGCUGUAGUUCGUAUCGAUCAGUGACCUGACUGACAUGGUGCUGUACACGAAUUAUGUGAUGCAUCAGCUGAAAACAACAAAUGUUUCACCCCUCAAAUUGAGAUGCUAAAUGUAGUGAUGGACAUAUAUAUAUAUAUAUAUAUAUAUAUAUAUAUAUAUAUAUAUAUAUAUAUAUUAAANNNNNNNNNNNNNNNNNNNNNNNNNNNNNNNNNNNNNNNNNNNNNNNNNNNNNNNNNNNNNNNNNNNNNNNNNNNNNNNNNNNNNNNNNNNNNNNNNNNNNNNNNNNNNNNNNNNNNNNNNNNNNNNNNNNNNNNNNNNNNNNNNNNNNNNNNNNNNNNNNNNNNNNNNNNNNNNNNNNNNNNNNNNNNNNNNNNNNNNNNNNNNNNNNNNNNNNNNNNNNNNNNNNNNNNNNNNNNNNNNNNNNNNNNNNNNNNNNNNNNNNNNNNNNNNNNNNNNNNNNNNNNNNNNNNNNNNNNNNNNNNNNNNNNNNNNNNNNNNNNNNNNNNNNNNNNNNNNNNNNNNNNNNNNNNNNNNNNNNNNNNNNNNNNNNNNNNNNNNNNNNNNNNNNNNNNNNNNNNNNNNNNNNNNNNNNNNNNNNNNNNNNNNNNNNNNNNNNNNNNNNNNNNNNNNNNNNNNNNNNNNNNNNNNNNNNNNNNNNNNNNNNNNNNNNNNNNNNNNNNNNNNNNNNNNNNNNNNNNNNNNNNNNNNNNNNNNNNNNNNNNNNNNNNNNNNNNNNNNNNNNNNNNNNNNNNNNNNNNNNNNNNNNNNNNNNNNNNNNNNNNNNNNNNNNNNNNNNNNNNNNNNNNNNNNNNNNNNNNNNNNNNNNNNNNNNNNNNNNNNNNNNNNNNNNNNNNNNNNNNNNNNNNNNNNNNNNNNNNNNNNNNNNNNNNNNNNNNNNNNNNNNNNNNNNNNNNNNNNNNNNNNNNNNNNNNNNNNNNNNNNNNNNNNNNNNNNNNNNNNNNNNNNNNNNNNNNNNNNNNNNNNNNNNNNNNNNNNNNNUUUUGGGCUUUUUGCCCUCCGGAAGCCCUAGCUGCUUCCACCGCCUAGUUCACUUUCACUUAAUGAAUGAAGCGGGUAGCUUGCUAUCUUUUCUCAAAAAAAAAAAAAAAUGAAGGCAACCUAAUUAGCUUUUGGCCUACAUGAUUUGACCAUUAAUGGCACUGUUUGAUCUUACUUUCUUCGAUGCAAUAUGUUUCUCUAACACAAGUGCUGCCCAUUUGAUAUGUACAGUGGCCUUUAUUGGUGCAAUGUAUCCUAUUGCUGCAAAAAUACAAAAUAUAUGAUGAUUGCGAAUUGGAGUUUUCGCAUUGUGACAUGGUUUGGUGUCUCAAUGCAUAACUGAGCCAAAUAAGUCCUAAAUGUUCAGAGAGCAAAAUAACUCCUAUUCUUGCUUGAGCAUUAUAUAUCAUCUCUAAUACUAUAUAUGUAAUUUUCAUCUACAAAAACAUCAAUAAGAUAUAUAGUCUUACUUAUAGUUUUGUAUUAUAUAUUGGUUUCUAUGCUCAAAGUAUUUUUAGACCACAAAUUAUCAAUUAAAAUCCAUGUUUAAACAUUGAAUUUUAUUGUGGUAUUGUCAACAUAUGUUUGAUUACACUAAUAAUUCAUUUGACUUUCCAGGACAUAAUUUAAUUUGUAAGAGUCGUUUCAAGCUCGAUGGAAUGUUACAACUACCAUUUUUAGUGAUUAGCAAUAUCUUCACAUUAAUUAAUAACUAUAUAACAAUGAGAAUGUACAUAUGUUAUAUUCUUUUGGUUUUCUAUUGGACCUGGUCAUUUUGGUGUACAACUACGUGCAUAUAUAAUUGGUCAAAUAGAUCGGUUGAGAUUCCCUACAAAUAUCUACAAUUUGUUAGGACAAUCUUGUUGAAUAAUUUGGGGUGUAAAUUCCUAUAAUAAGGAACUUAAUUUGCUUUCCCCAUUCAUUACUUAACUACUUGUUGCUAAUAGUAAUUGGCACAGCUAUAUAUGUUUAGAAUAGGAAGAUAGCUAGCACGCUAUCCGCUUCGUUUCAUUUCAUUUAGAAAUAAAUUUAGCUGAAAAUGUGAAUCAACUAGGAUUCGAACUUGGGACCUCGGGUACCAACCAACAAGUUCUUUGCCACCUGCUCUAGAGGUGGUCGGUGGAAUUUUCGAUUUUCAUUCUAUUUUGGCCUUGAUCCAAGGGGAUUAUUGUCUUUCCUUGACCUUUAUUUCCCCAAUUCCUUAUUCGAUCUAUAACAUAUAGAAUAAAGACCCCUUUAUUAUCCAUCUUUUAUCUCCUUGUGAUGUCCUCUAUAACAUUAACCAACACGUUAUCUUAGAAUAACAUACCUGUCAACAAAUUAAUGAGUAAGGUUCUGGUCAAAGUAAUUAGUUGAUCCAAUCCAACCAGUUAAAUUGGAUCUUAGUAUCAUUAUAUACACGAAUGAAAACUUAGCCAAUUCAUUAAUUAUAAGCCCCAUCCACUGAUCCACCCCCACAGCUUUAAAUUCAACCUAGCUAGGAUUUGCUUAUAACUUUGAACGAAUGUCUACUAAAUUUUUUUAAAAAAACUAAGAUAUACGCACACAUGUUAAUGUUAUAGGAAUACAUACUUAGCCAAUCCAUGCAUGCAUGCCCUAUAUAUGCAUCCACAACGUUUCAAGCUACUAAAGAUUUGGUUUUUGAUAUUCUCUUAAUUCUUUUAAUUCUUAAUUUUUGUAUAUUGACAUUCUUUUAAUUUGAGUUAAAUAUAUGGAGAUCCCCGGCCUCAACUAUAGUGUAAAUUGAAAAGACCUCUCAUUUUGUUUAUUGACGUACAUUCUUUUAAUUCGUAAUUUUUCUCCAAUUAAAUGUCUUUAAUCAAUUAAAUAUCAAAUGGAUCAUCGGCUUAUAUGUCCUAUAGUGACUAAAUUUAUCAAAACUUUAAUCUCACUAGUUAAAGCAACUCAAAUAAAAUGAAAAAAAUUAAGAACUCGAGUGAGCUAACCGUAAAAGAAAUUUCGUUGAGAGGCAUAUUGCAAUAUUAUAUAGUACAUUCAGUUUGAGGGUCUCAUUAGAUCUACAGUAUAUCUCUUAGAUCGAUCUAUGUAUACAUGCAUGUUGAGGUUGUGGAAGAAUUAUUAAUGAUCGUAUGAUCUCUAACUGAUAAAUUAAUGCUCAUCACACGCCAUAUACGACAACCAAAUAAUUAAUUUGAGUUAAUUAGUAAUUAAUUAUAUCACAAUUUGUGACAAGCGCCAGCUCCAAAGCACCAAGCUCCCACACUUUCCUUUUAAAAAUUAGGAGCUGAGGCUAAUUAUUAAUGAACAUUAAGCAAAACCGCAGCCCCAGUUGAUACUGCUAUUGGUCAACCUAUGUCACAUGAUUCUCAUUUACACUUGCUAACAUGCUCAAUUUAAUUAUAUCAUCCUCUGAUAUGUGGCCUCUUCCUAAGUACUCAGCACCAGCUUCUGAAAUAAUCAAUAUAUAUACCUACCCUAAAAAAAGUAUUCCAUGUAUUAUAUGAGAUGGAGUGUGCUAGCUAGUGGAUAUACAUAUGACAGAUGUAUUUAUUCUUAUUAUUUAUUUGCAAUCUUAUAGUUUGUUCAUUUAUUAAAGACCAAGACUUUCACAGUUGUCUUUGCACUCUCUCUUUUUUUUUUUAAUACUAAAAUCUAAAAAAGAAAGAGUUUAAAAAUUCAUAAGAUUUCAACUCUCGGAUGAGAAUUAUACCUACAAUCCUUUUUGGAUCGUAGACUUAGCAUUGCUCAAAAUUCUAAUACACAUUCUAAAAAUUCUACAACCAAUAUUUCCAUAAAAGUCUAGCAAGGCCAAUCAUGGGGUCCCUCGUAAUCAAAAUCUGCAUGCUUAAUUUUAGUGUCCAUUAAUUCUACAUUGAACUGUAGCGCCAAUAUAUUUGAGUGUUUGAAAAAUAAACUGAUUUAGAGUCUCAACUCUCGGCUGUAGGUAAGAACAAAAUUUAAAAUUCAAAUAAUAAUAUUAUUAAUUUAUAACUUCCUGAAUAUACUGAAAAACAAAGUACAGAUGAAAUUUUGAUAUAAACUUUUUUUUUUCUUUUCCUAAUAGCUAAAACAUUAAAGCAUUACAGUAACCUAGAAGAAGAGGCUCUUGGGACUAAAUAAACACGGGAAAAAAAGUCAAAAUAAUAAUUAAUUUUUAAAAAAACCCCAAAGAACCGGUAGGUAGAUAGGUUGUGAAGUAAAAGUCAACUUGUGAGCUGGUGCUACCCAUGUUUACAUAAGUUUGCCUCAGAAACUGCACGCCCACGUUCUAGUUUUGCUUUAAUAUCUUUGUUUUCUUCAUCCAAUGUUACACAAAUUAUUAUAUAAUAUACGAGAAUCGGACGUACAAGCCUUAUCUUUCUCUUUAGUUUACUUGGGCCACGUUCUCUAUCUUCCUGUUUAGUUUACUUGGGCCAGUUCCUAGAUCUCCUUGCCAUCUAUAAAUACCACCCACUACUGCUGCAACUCUCCUCAUCACUACACCACCUUCUCGAUCUAAAGCUUAUUGAGUUUAGAAAUUAAUUAAAAGCUAGCGCAUAUACACAGAGAUGAGGAGGAGGAGCUCUAAUAUUGUUGCAUUCUCAUGCAUGCUCUUCAUCUUGGCCUUGCAAGCCAUCCUCCCUAUCUCCUCUGCUUCCCUUCAAUACGGUUUCUAUGAUUACGACUACAAAUGCAAGAGAACUAAUGUCGAGCUCCUUGUGAGGGGCGUCGUCGCGAAGGCGAUCCGGAAGGACCCCGGCGUCGGCGCGGGCCUCAUCAGGAUGUACUUCCACGACUGCUUCGUUAGGGUAAGACCUGCAUGCAUGCUCUCUCUUCUUUUCUUCUUCUUUAUUACAAGCAUAUAUGUAGAGGCUAGCUAACUAGGACUCAAAGUCAAAUUAUAAACCAUUAAACUUUUCUUUUUCUUUUUAUUUUGAACUUUUCCUUUUUGAGAAGAAUUAAACUAUUAGACAUAUAAUCUAUAUAUAAUGGCAGCAUUUGUGUGCCAGGUACAAUAUAUUUACAAUAUAUCCAUUAGUGUUUCGUUCUUUUUGAGAAGAAUUAAACUAUUAGACAUAUAAUCUAUAUAUAAUGGCAGCAUUUGUGUGCCAGGUACAAUAUAUUUACAAUAUAUCCAAUAGUUUUUCGUUCUAUACAUUGCUAAAUCCCACCAAACUAGCUAGUCAUCAAAAUUUUCUCUUUCGAAAGAGCAUAUUUUGUUUCUAAUUUUUUAAAGUGAACUUAAUUAUCGAAUGAGCAUUCUCGAAAACUUUUAAAUAGCUACAUGGACGUACGAAUGCAACGAACGCAUGCAAUAAUUUCUCUAAAGAAAUUAAAAGGUUCAAAAAAAAGAGAGAAAAAGAAAAAUUCUCCCGCCCAAUAUUCUUCAAUCCGGACACAAUACUUAUACUUCAUCACCGGGUAUAUAUAUAUAUAUAUAUAUAUAUAUAUCCCGCGAUCGACAUACACAUGCAGGGCUGCGACGCCUCCGUCCUCCUCGACCCGACCACUGCCAACCCGACGCCCGAGAAGACAUCCGGGGCCAACUUCCCGAGCCUGCGCGGCUUCGAGGUGAUCGACCAGNAUAUAUAUAUAUAUAUAUAUAUAUUAACUGUAGGAUUUCUCAAUUGAAAAUAAAAGCCUUCUUUUAUCGACCGUCCCAAGAGCAAGUGGCAAAGGGUUUGGUGGUUGGUACUCGAAACCCAAGUUCGAAUCUUAGUUGAUUCACAUUUCCAGCUAAAUUUAUUUUUAAAUGAAAUAAACGAAGCGGGUAGCGUGCUACCUAUCUCUCAAAAAGAAAAUAAAAGCCUUCUUUUGAUCUAGACAUUUUUUUUCCUUUUUUUUUUAAACUUCAACAAAUUGUUAACAAGUUUGAAUUAUUUUAAAACAUCCUCAUAUAUAAGCAUUGGUUAAAACAUUCAGAUAUGUUCUAGUCUUAUUCGAAAUAUAUACGACCAAUUUUGUACCAAAUUUACGAUGUGCGCCAAAUACUAUCAUAUAUAUAGAUAUAUAUAGAAAGAGAGAGAUAGUCCGGCUAUACUAUACUACCAAUGAUUCCAGACGUUUGGUGCUAUUGAGUUUUCAGCUGUUAAGUCUAAGAUUUUGAUCUUUUCCAUCCGUUAGAUUAUAUUAUUCGACUAACUACCCACUCAACCCUGAAUACCACUAUCAUCCUAACUACACAUCCUUUCAUCCAAGAGCCGAAAAUCUAAUAACUCUAAGCGCUUGGUACUAUUAAUUGUAUAAUAACAUAAUCCAAUAUAUAUAUAUAUAUAGGAUUCCAGGCCGAUAUGAUGUUUUUGAAAGCGAGGUCUGAGGAAUACAAUGGAACUGAUUGUGACAUGCAUCCUUUUAUUAUCUACUAAUGACAAGAUACUGUUACUAUGUUGCAAUUAGAACAUCACAUGAAUGUGGGGCACAAAAAUGGAAAUUUUGCGAUUAUUUGCGAAUCCAUGUUACAGCUAAAUGAACAUGUCCAAACCCCUAAUUUGAUCUGUGAUUUAACAGUAGUGCGCGCGCAUGAUUCUGUAAGUAGUUUGCAUAUCAAAAAUAUGAAAACCAAGUUAAAUUAUGAUAGAACAAGAGACAAAAUUUCAGGUUCAUAGUACUGUACGCGAUUUAGCUAAGUUGUUUUUUUUACAACAUAAGUUUCAAAGGAAAACUAUUUAACAAUCUAAGUGCAGUGUAUUAAUUGGCACAAUGUUUUUGAAAAGCCCAGAAACAUUUACAUAUAUAACAAUUAGGAUGAGAGAGAGAGAGAGAGAGAAUAGAAGAUGAUUCUUCCCAAAGGACAUUUUUGUUACACCACAAGAUUACUCUACUGCAAACUCCAGGGCCCUCUAUGUAGAGAUAGUAGUGUUAAUUAAUGUAUGUAAUAUUUUGAUGCAGGCCUAAAAGCCGCGUGAUAAGAUGAAGAAACAUAAGGACGGAAAGAGAGAGAUACAUGAAAAAUUCAAUUCUUCGACAAGAGGAAAAAUAUUAUCAACCAACUCUAAACAACUUAUUACACUAACCAUGCACCAUGUAUAUAUAGGAUCGAUAUCUGAAAUCUACUAUUAUUGAAGAUACCAAUUGGAAAUAACUAAGUAAUCAGACUCAAAAUAGAAAGAAUACAAAACUUUCCAAUAGUCUAAUCUAAAAAUGCAAAAAAUGAGACUUAAACAGUUGAAUUUAAGUCUCAAACUUGGCCGGAACGGACACUCAAGGAAAAAGUAAAGUUUUUUGCGAGCCACAAUUGUUAAAAUUGCUGAUCUCAACGAGAUUUUCGGCCUAGCUUGGACCAUGCCAUAUUGAAUGUCAAUCUAGAUGGAACUGAGCCAAAGUAGCUAAAAUAUUCUGGCUAAAUAUGGAUCCCUAUAACCCUUGAAACAAAAAUAUUAAACUUUCUAUAAUAAUCAAAAUUAGGAGUUCGAAGUCAAAAUGACAGUAACUUGGCCCAGAUUAUGUCUUGGCAAAGGGAAAAUGGAUUAAGAACAUGGAGAUUAAAGGUAUAUAUGGUUAUCGCAAAGCAAAAUCUCUAAAAGUCACUACGACAAAUCUAUUAUCUUUUACUAUAUACUAGUCGCCGUGGAGUUGUGGUCCACCGCCCACACACGUCGUAUCAACUGGUGAGAAAAUAUACAUUUUAUCAAUUAAUCAAAUAUGGUGCAUAGAUGUACGAAUACAACGGAUGUAGUAUUACUUUUAAUAGGAUACUAGCUCUAUACUAUAUUAUUUAUGGGACUAAGAAACAUAUCUAACACAUAAAGUUGAGUGCUUAAUUUGCUUAAUUGGAUAACAAAGAAGCUAAAAGCCUAGGCAAUAAUUAAUAUGUUAUUAUAAACCAAGAAGGAAAAAAUAAUCCAAAUAAUUAAAUCCAAUGAACAAACUUUGCUUUUGCGUGACAAAAUGCUUCAAAAUAAAUUUCCUUAUUUUUGGCAUACGAAAAGAUGUCGUGUCGAUGUACCCUGUACUCCUAUGAGGAUUAUUGUAUGCUAUUGUAGGAACAUAAUGGAGCCCAUCCACGUGUAACCAUGUGGCCAAGAUCCACCAAAUUAAUUAAUUAAUUAAUAAUUAAUUAGCACUAGUAUAGGGACCCGCGCGAUGCAGCGGGUAGAUAAUAGAAACAAAAUUUUAAUAAAAUUUAUAUUCACAACUUAUUGAUGUAUAAGAAGCUAUACCCAUGUUAAAUAUAAUCAAUUUGUUUGAUUAAAUUCAACUAUGAAAAAAAUAAAUUAUAGUUAGAAGUUUAUAUAUAUAUUUUAAAAUCAUCGAAAUACAGUAAGAGACAUAUAAUUUUAUCGUAUUAUGUGCACCGUAAACAUUCCGUUGUGAAAAAUAAAAAAGAGCUAAAUCAACCUAGUAGGCACUUAUAUGAGCCGCGGCUCGAUUUUGCGGAACGAUGCUUCUCGAAGGAGACAACGUUCUUCGCAUGCUCUUCUUCUUCUUCUUCAUCGUCCUCAUCAUCUUCGUUAACACAAUAAGAGAGAGAGAGCUAGAUGAGUAUUGGGUGGAAAAUUAGAUGAUGAUAUUUUUUUUGCAUGAAAAAUAAGAGGCCAUGCAAAAGAGAGGGGGGUGGGGGAUUAAUGGAGGUGGGGGUGGAUUGGUGUUGUAAAGCCCAUUUAUUUGUAGAAUAUAGUGUCUAUAAUUAAAUGUUGCAUUUUCGAUUAAUUAAUUUUCAUGAUUUCAAAGGAUUGGGAGGUAAAGGGUAUGGCGUUGAAAAGAGAUUUGAAGGAGAAGAAAUGACUAAUAUUGAAGAGAAAAAUGAGUAACAUAUAAGUUAAAGAGCACAUUAAUUACUUGUCAUUGAAUAGAGAGGAGGGGAGGGGAAAAGUCAAGAACAAAUGUGAGUUCAAAAAAAGGGUUAGUAAGGUUGAAAGAAAACUUGUCAUGUGACAAAAAACAUUGGGAAUUCAUUUAGGUUAAUAGAUGUUUGAUUAAUUAGCUCUUCACAAUACAAAUAUAAUAUGUGCCUAAUCAAUCCUACAUUUUGCUGAUAUUACAUUUAUGGAUCGAUUAAUUGCGUGUAUUUUCAUGUGGUCCUCAAUUCAUGCACUAAUAUAUACCAUAUUUAUACUUGCUUUAAGCAAGAUUAACAAUUGUUGAUCCUAGUAGUUAUAUAGACACGAAUCAAAUAUAUAUAUAUAUAUAUGGUACGGCUACUAUACUAUUAUGAGUACGAUUGCCAUCGUACUCAUAAGUUGUUUUCGAUGAUAGAGCUUCCGAAUCGACGAUCCAUACCGUUAAACGUUAUUUACAGCAUUUAAAACUUCUAGAAAUCAAAUUUUAUAAUUUUUCGACAUCAUUUACCUUACGAUCAAGAGGUCACAAAUUUGACAAUUUUUAACAGCCGGUAUGAGAUACUUGCUAGUUUAACGAUGUAAAAGAAUCGAAAUUUGUUGAAUUUUUGAUAGAAAAUUCUAUUCACUACGUAGAUAAAGAUCAAUAACUCCGAUCUUGAAUUGAAAGAUCCAAUCAUCUUUUUUUAGGACGUCGUUCGAUUUUGACCGUUCAUUUUAUGCCCACUUGAUGGCCUUUAUUAUGAUUUCGAAAAUUUACGAAAUUUAUUUUCUAAAAAUUUUAAAUAUUCUAGAUCAUAUUUAACGGAGUAGAUCGUCGAUUCGGAAGCUCCAUCAUUGAAAACAACUUAUGAAUACGAAGGCUCCAAUACUCAUAAUAGUAUAGAAGCCAUGGCCUAUAUAUAUAUAUAGCUUAAUUGAAGAUAAAUGGAAAAAAGAAGAAGUAGAAAUCUUAUGAAUGUAAUCUUAGUAAAACUACAUUUUCCAUCAAAUUAGUGCAACUUUUAAAACCCUUGAACAAAAAGUAGAAGGAAACAUCUAAUACUAUAAACUAAAACUUAAGUAUAUUCAUUUUGAACCCCUAGUAUUCUAGUUUCUUUCAUGCAUGCAUGCAUGAUUAGUCAUGUGGACAAAAGUUAAAUAAAUUAGGAUGAUCCACUUGAACUUAAAUUUGUAGAUAGUUAGUAUAAUUUUUUGCAUUUAUUUUGGGAUAUGGCAUGCAUGUAGAGGUGGGGCUUUAAAACAUGUGCAUGCAUGUGGUGUGUCUCCUCUCACUGAGGCACCUCCUCACUAAUCAAUUAGUAUAGGAUUCACUUAAUUCCCUUCCUAUAUGUAUUCAUUUUGUUUUCCAAUUUGAAUAUAUAUAUAUAUAUAUAUAUACUUCUGUGAGAGACACUACACUUGUAAUGUUAAAUCAUUUGCUAUAGAUUUACCAAUUUGAAGCUAGUUUUGUACCACCGACAUGAGGUUUGAUCUAAAUCACCAAAACUAGUAGAAAUAAAAGUUGUAUUAUUAAAAGAACAUUUUACUUGUGAUUUGCGAAUUGAAUCAGUUACAAGGAUGAAUUAAUGGAGCAUAUGAUGGUAUUUCCAGUUAGAAAAUUUAGCUAGAUCCAUGGUGUUCGAUUCUAUGCUACAAAAACACAAAAUAUUAUUGAGGGUCCAAAUUCAAUUACUCCAAAACCUUAAGCUCUCGAAGAACAGUUGUUCUAAUAUUUUUUUUGUUACCCUAGUGCAAGUGGCAAAGAAUUUGGUGGUUGGUAUAUGAGGUUUCAAGUUCGAAUCCUAAUUGAUUCAUAUUUUCAGUUAAGUUUAUUUCUAAAUGAAAUAAACGAAACGGAUAGCAUUCUAUCUAUCUCUCAAAAAACAUAUUUUUUUGUUAACACUUCUCAUAUUUGGACUCAAGAGUUUUCAAUAGAUUCAAGAUAGAGUGAAAUUAAAUAGAAGCAGAUUAAACAAAGAGCCCGGCGAAAUUUGAGCUAAAAAUGUCCUGUUCUUAUAUUAUGUAAAAUUUUUGCAAUUCAUGUCAUAACCCAUUUUAAUCCAAUUACCUCUUUUUUUAAAAAAAAAUAAAUUGCAAUUUGGCUACUCAACCUUUUUUGAUUCAUUUGGGACUUGAUUAGUGAAUUAGGCGUAAUUUGACGAUGCAUCCAUCCUAAUUUUGAAACAAAAGAGUCACCUGAUGUCUCAAACCAAACAAAUUAAAAAAAAAAUUAAUUUCAUAUAAGUCCCGCAAACAUAGUAAAUUACAAAUAGAUCCCUAUAAAAUUCAAUUUUUAUAUAUUAUCUUUACAAAAAUCCUAAUAUUUUCAAAUAUGUUCCUGUCAUUAGAUCCCUUAGGAAAAAUUAGUUAACCAUAGAUAAAAUAUUUAACCCUAAUUAGUUAAUAAAAUAAAUUGACCUUUUUACACCUAUUCAAUUAACAAUAAAAACUUUUAAUGUUUUCAAAUAUAUCUCUAUCAUUAGAUCUCUUAGUAAAAAUUAGUUAACCAUAGAUAAAAUAUUUAACCCUAAUUAGUUAAUAAAAUAAAUUGACCUUUUUACACCUAUUCAAUUAACAAUAAAAACUUUUGGAGGGACAUAUUUAUGAUAACAAAAAAGUUAUUUCACUUAAAAAAUAAAUAGUACUUUAACGGUAACAAACCAAAAAAAUAUAUUUAAAAAUAUUAGAACUUUUCUAGAAACGACAUAUAAAAGUUGAACUUUGUAAGAAUAUAUUUGCAAUUCACUAUAUUUGCAGCGACCCGUAUGAAAUUAACCCAAUUAAGAAACUAAGUACCAAAAUCAAACUCACAAAGGUUACACAGUUUCACCGAGAACGGACUUCAGCUCAUGUAAGUUCUAUACGCUUCCACAUAUAUAAAAUAAUUCUCAUCAAACAUCAGAAACUGCUAAAAUCCGCUUAUCUUGCAGAUCAGCACCCAGUUCGCAAAUGUAUCUCUAGAUCUAGAGAAAUUGUCGCCUGCACCCGUCAUGCGGCACCAACUCAUGCACAACCCCCGAUUAGCCCCACUUCAUUGAAUCUCAUACUUUCCCACACAAAAUAAUAUACACGUCGAGAAAAGACCAUGACUUACUUGGCAUGGGGGAUCGCAGCAUAAGACGAAACGGAGGGUGUAUCAGGGCGAUGCAGGGGCUGAGGCGGGGUGAACCUGGUGCAGGCAAUAAUUUCUCGUAGAUCAAGUGUUAACGUUGAUACCAGAUGCAGAAAGCUUCAAAGUUUCGGUAAACAGAUACGAAGGAUGCACCGGAAAUUAAACUUGUUCACAAAGGUUAGGGUUUGAGAAAACACACAUUGACGCCAACUCUGAUUUUGUUCAAAAUCUUAUUGCUGCACAAAGCAUUACAACUUAAACAACUGCAGAGUAUCAGAUCCAAGAACUCCGUAAACGAAACAUAGGUUCGAGAAAACAGAUUGAUUCAAGAGCAGAGAGAAUCUGCACAAUUAGAGUGGCCCCGGAAAGGUUCCACUCUCCCUCUGCUCAUUCCACUUCUCAACCUGGGUCAUUAAAAGAAAGAAAAGCUAGUUAUUAUAUAGAGAAAAACAGAAAGCAACUACAGAGUAAAGUGGAGAGAAUUGAGGCGGCGAGCAUCGACAUGCACAAUGCUGAAAGCAAAAGAAGAAAUUAUAUUUUAAUGUUGCCGACUUAAAUCCUACAAGACAGAAUUCAAUUUAAAUGAAAUCAAAUUGAAUGUCCAAGAUAGUCUUGAUGAAGGGAAGAAGAUUGGGCCAAGUGCAGAACAUCGAGACCUCACAUGUGUCGUACGAUUGAUAUGACACAAGUUUGACACACUUUGCUGACUUUUCUUUCGACAAUAUCAAGAACAUCUGAGAACUACAGAAUUAAUUCUUCAUCAGAUUAGACCAAAAUUCCCUUCCCACAUCAUUAUGUCUGGUAUUUAAGAAGGAAGGUUUAAAAUCAUGGACAAAUCUUACUAGGACAAGUAACACUUUUGUGAUUGCACCAUGAAAAUUGAAAAUUAUUCGCUGAUAUGAAUCAUGGAGAUGCAAAACAGCAACCACUUCUCGUUAUCAUCUUUGAAAUAUGGCAGGAGCCGCGAGACUGAAUUUAAAAGAACAGCGACAGUGCAUAUAAGUUACUAUAACAUACUAUGGCCAUAUUAAUACAUAGCAAAAUAUAACACAAGGUCACAUUGCUACAAAAACAGUAUGAUUUAGACACAAUAAACACAAUAAAGCAGUGGAAAGGGCUGAAUAAUUUAUCACUAAGCACAAGAUAAUUGCCGCCGCUCCAAGUGAGUUCUCAUCUCCUCGGCAAAUUUUUUAGGUUCACUGCUAUCCGUUACAUAAAAAAAUAUAUGUAUAAAUUACUUCACAAACAUAGUUUCUCUCUUUAAGCUCCUAUUAUACAUGUAACAAGAGUUUGGGAUGGGGUUUACGUGUACGCGAGCGUGGAGGGUGUUUGUGUGUGCGGGUGCUGCGCGGUGUGUGUUAUGUGAGGCCAGAGCCCAUUAAAUUUCAUGUUACAGAACAAAGGGGGUUUAGGACUAACCAUGUCCAAUAACAUCUGAAAUGACUGUAUUAUCAACAAGUUUGUCAUUGGAGAAUGGUAUUUUGCAUAUUUUAUAGUCAACAAGUAUGGAUUCACAGCAUUAUAUGAGCCAAGAUGUGAACUUUAUACAAAACUAUUAGAGGUUUCUUUUCAAUUGAAUGAUGGAUGUUUCUAGGCUCGAUCUUUUCAGUUAACAGAAUGAGAGCACCAGGUCUCAAGAUCAAACUCAACCAUGCCCAACAGCCACUGCUCAAAAAGAAAACAUCAACUAAUGUAAUUCGAAGUCGAUGUCUUGGACCUAUUAAAAAAUUUUCAAGCCCAGAUUUAAUGAAUGCCGAUUGUAGGUGUAUAAAACACCUUUUCCCAAUAACUAUGAGCUUUUUAAAGAAAAGGCUGUUUAAUAUUAGCAGCAUAAAGCCUGAUACAACAAGGUCAAUACGAGGCAUGCAACAUGCAUAUCUCCCAAUCUCAGCAGCAUGAUAUAAAUUAUCAUUCAAGACAAUCAAAAGAAUUCAUCGCCAUGCAGAAUUUGCAGUACUUACCACUAUUCUGCAUUACAUUUUUUAUAGUGCAUGUAAUAACUGGAGGAAGAGAAAGCGUUACGAUAUGCCACUUCUGUGAUUGACAUGGUAUAUGCGUUUUAUUUUUAGCUGACUAUAAUUUCGAUUGAACGCUGAUACUACCACAUGCAUCAUAUGCCACUGCCAGUAAAACUAGGAACAGUUUAUCAAAUCAAGUACUAAUUGUUGAUAUUUCGUUACCAGAAUAGGUGUUGAUCUAGCGCGAUGACCAUGACUAGGCACAGGGUUUUGGUCCUUAAUAUUAACAAACUUUCUAAAUAGAAGACAAUUGGAUGACAGAAACUAAAAGUAACAUGCUAAAACCCAGAGGAAGAAAAUGAUCAAACAUUUGUAGGAUCACUAACAUCAAAAGACAAUCCAUUACUAACGAAACCCUGGAAAGAGUGAGUAUGCCAGACAAUAUUGGAUUAUCACUAGCAUGAAACUAGAUGGACGUACAAAUGAAAUAAAGGAACAUAAGAACUCACCCAUUCUCCCGGGCACAAUGAUCGAUAGUAUUUGGCAAAUUUCUCACAAUCACUAGACUCUUCACCUUUAGCAAUCAAACACCUACAUUUGCAGGUCAGGUAGAAGUUUUUAAAAAACAAGGGAAUGGAAAAGGUAUACUGGCAUGGUACGUAUCAGAAGCCAUAUAUAACCAUACCUGUGAUACUCAAUGUAUCGAGUGAAACAGUGCCUGGUUUGAUUUGUUGUAGGAAAGCGAAAGUCAGCUGGUGCAGUUUUCAACUCAAUCUGACAAGCGAGAACAUUAUGAAAUUUAAAGUAACUUAUUAAGUAAAUUGCUCAAAGAAAAGCUCCAAAAGUAAACUAAAUCUUCUAAUAUGAGCUUGCAAAUAUACAAAAUAACUAAAAGACAACACCAAAUAGGCACAACAAUUUAAACAACUUUUUAGCAAAGAUUACGAAUCUAAAAGAACAUAGAUAUCAUAUAAAUGUGCAAAUCACUUAGAUAAACAUUGAAAACUUAUUAGCAAUCUUAAUUAACCUAACAAAUAAGCUUUUUGAAAAGGUACAACAUAUUACUUAUCCAUCAAUUGCUCACCACAAAUAUGAAUUCACAACAGUCUUUUACGCUCUUUAUCUAACAACAAAGCAAGCAAUCAUUGACCUUCAUUCUCUUGUAUUUCUAACUCAUUAUUGAGCUUAUAUGAAUAUAUAUAGAUUGUUUUAAUAACAACUUCAAUCUAUUGAGCAAGAGAUAGAAAAGCAUAAAUAUUACAGGAUUUCUAUUUUAUUUGCCGCAUUUAAGCAUAUUCAAGUAAAAAAAUAUUGUGACUGAGCCACGAUUUCUUUAUCCAGUAAAUACUCAACAAACAGAUGUAGGAUUGUAUCAAAUCUCAUAUGUAUCCUUCACAGAUCAAACAAUCGCCAAUUACCUACCACUAAAAACACCACCAGAUCAUGUAAUUUGAUUACUUUAUCAGAUUCAAUCCCCAAACAGCUUAACCAAACCCUAGCACCAUAUUACAGGAUUUCUAUUUUAUUCCCCUCAUCUGAGCGUAUUCGAGCAAAAGAUAUUGUGACAGAAUCACUAUUUCUCUAUCCAGUGAACACUCAACUAACAGACGCAAAAUCCAUAUGAAUCCUUCAUGAAUCGAAAAAAAAAAAAAAAAAAAACUCCCAUUGCCUACCUUCAAAAACAUCACCAGAUCAUGUAAUUAGAUUAUUUUAUCAGAUUCAAUCCCCAAACAGCUUAAGAAAACCCUAGGAACAGAAAAAUUAAGGGGAAAACACAAAACUUGAGCCUCUUCGUUCUAAGCACAUACAAGGGAUCGAAUGAUUCCAAGAAAAACUAAACAUCAAAAAUAAAAUACCAUACGAACGGAUCAACGCGAAGGGGGGAAAAAAUGAUCGGUAAAAUGAAGAAAUUAGGGCUAAAACCAAGUAAAUCGAGAGCGAUCGAUCUCCGCAGAUCGAUCAGCGGGUGUUUCGCGUACCUCCGCCAUUGGAAGAUCCUCAAAAUCAGGAAAAAGUCGAUCGAUCUAGCGAACGCGAUUAGGGUUUCCGAUGCGACGGGGACGAAGUUGGAGAGGACGAAGAAGAGGAAGUUUUUCUUUUUUUUCCUUUUUCUUUUUUUGUUUUUUCAACGGCUGUGACCCGAGAAUUGUGGUAGCCUCCGAGAAACGGGGAUCGUUGGAUCGUUUAUGUGGGCCCACCGAAAGAUUUUAGAGAUAAUCUCUCACUAACCCCCCUAUAUGAGAAAUGCUAAGUCUCUAUUACGGUAAUUACAUAUUUAGUCCUCAAAUUAUAAAAUAAAUAAUAUUUUAAUCCUCAAAUUUUAAUUUAUUAUAAAUUUUCGCUAGAGCUUUUAAAAUUAUUACAAUUAAGUUUUAGAACCCAAUUUUUUUUUUUACUAAAGCUAUUUGAUUCGCAACCCCAAAAUGGAAAGUUUUCAUGGGGAGGGGGGGCGGCGGGUGCUGUUCACUACUUUCUACUGCACUUAACUAAAUAAAAUAUAUACAGUUAUAUGCUUAUAAUUAUAUCCAAUCAGUGUUCCAGAAAAAUUACGUUACGUGUUGUGUUUAUAUUUAAUAUUAUAUUACGUAUAUCGUAAUAAAUCUGUUAUAAUUUUUUUUAUUAUUAUCCUACUAAGAAAUGUAAAAAUAUAUUUCCAUAUAAGUUUUCUAAUUCUAUUUUAUCCGUUAGCAUUGAAUGAGCCUCAAUACCAGGUGCCGCGUUGGCUGGAUCGAAAACUAAUUCUAAAUUUGUGGCCCAAAUUUAACCCGUUGAAAAUAAUAUUUGGGCCUAACUUAGAACAAUCCUAAUCCUUUCUUAUCUUUUUUUUGUUUUUCUUUUCUUUUUAUUAUUAUUAUUCUUUGGCCACUAUUUUAUUUAUCCAAAAUUAUGCUUUGAUAAUGGAGAGUGUAAAUUCCACGUUUGGUCCUCAAAAUUAUAAGAUGCCUGAUAUUUUGGUUUCAAAAAUUAAUUUGCUAUAAAUUUUAGCUUGGACUUCUAGAAUUAUUGUAAUUAAAUCUUAUAAUACAAUUUAGUAGACUAAAUAUUGACGCAUCUUUGAUAUAUAAGUAAUAAGUAAUAUAACAUCUUAAUUAUUAGUGCAUUUUAAAUCACAGUACUACUACAUCAUUUCUAGAUUAGCAAUGCAUUAAUACUUAGUAAAUUAAAUUAAGUUAUAUGAUUGCAACAAUUUUAAAAGUUUGGAUCGAAAAUUAUAAUAAAUUAAAAUUUAACUGCCAAAGUAUCACUUGACUUAUAAUUUAAGAACCAACCAUACAAUUUUCCCUUCGAGAGAAAUACUCUAGGGUUUGCAAAAUCCAAUUUGAUUUUAGUAUUAAAAAAAAUGAUGUGAUGGAUUGUGGAAGGAGCAUUACUCAUCUAUAAAUAGUACAUAGUGCGACAACUGUUCGCACGCUGCGGGCUUUGCGGAUCCAGAGGAGGCAGGAAUCGGGGGUGAGAGAGAAGGAAUCGCGGGUGGGAGAGAGAGAAGGGAUUGAAGGUGCGCAAGAGGGAACAGAAGAGACGGGAAGAACGACACGUAAGCCAUUCCAGAGCUCAAGUUUUAAUAUAUCUAUUGAUUCCUUGCACCUACCACAUUCUCUACAAUUUCCAAAUUUAAUUAAAAUUUUGAAAAAUAUUUUAAUAAUUUAAAAUAUCUAAAAUCAAAAUAUGUGGGGGAACAAAGUGGGAGAUCCAUAUACACUUAUUAUAAAAAUGAAUAGAACUAGUUACGGAACCCCGCGCGUUGCGGCGGGAAGUCGAUACAAUAGUCAAUUAUUAAAACUAUUAAUAUUAUUUUUUUAUUAUUAAUUAAUAUUUUUGAAUAAUAUUUAUUUCCGUAGUGAGUAUAUUUAGAAAAAGAAGGCAGGACAGAAAGAUAAAACUUUUUUGUCGCAGCUAGGACAGUAAUAGUAUUUGUGACAGAGGCAGUCCAUUAAGAGGCAGAGGAAGCACACUCCCAGCAUAAACGGCAUCAUGUAUGCUAUCAUAGCCGCCAAAUUUGACUUAUAUUCUCAGAAAAAAUGACCAUUAAGGUAUUAGAAAAAUAACACAACAAAUAUAACUAUAUGAAUUAUUUUAUAACAAAUUAAUACUAAAUAUACAUAGAAAAUGUAACUAUACUUACAUAUCAGGUCAUUAAUUAGGUAUGAGAAAAAAAUAAUGUUAAUAGUUCAAGCUGAAAUAGUGAAAGCGCAAACAAACGGCGGGUUUGCAUUUAUGGUUUAAAAGGUGGUACGCAACGGGACUUUGUUUUUCAAAUAAUUUAUAAAUAAUAAAAUAUUUUUGUUUAUAAAUUAAAUUCUUUAAAUGUGAAGAAAAUCACAGAAGAGAAGUACAAUUAUAAUAUAAAUAUUUUAAUACAACAUACUUGACUUUAUGAAAUAAGAAAAUUUUAAGGCCUUUUUCAUCACAAAGUAUUGUGCUUUUACUAUAUAUUUUUGAUAUCCGGUGUAGAGAGAUUGCGCUACAUGAUCCAUUACGCCCAUCCUGCUGUUGGUUUUACAUAUUGUUUACACUGUUAGUCAUAAUAAAAUAGUUGCUUACAUACGUUUUCUUUUGAAAUGAGAAUAUGUAAAUAUUUUAAUCACUUAUAUCUUGAUUAUUUACUGCCUUUGUAUUAUUUUCUUUUCUAAAAUCUUUUUCCUUACCUAUUGUGACCUAAAGUUAUGGAAAAAUAAAAAAAAAUGAUUUUACAAUAUUAUUGUUGUUUUUAUAUAGACAUUAUUUUGAGUUUCACUUAUAUAAAUACAGACNNNNNNNNNNNNNNNNNNNNNNNNNNNNNNNNNNNNNNNNNNNNNNNNNNNNNNNNNNNNNNNNNNNNNNNNNNNNNNNNNNNNNNNNNNNNNNNNNNNNGGCACACCUGCAAAUGCGAACUAGUUCUCCGUAUAUAUUUACAAAUAAAUUAUAACUUUGAAGAGUAUAAAUUUAAAAUACUAUUCAUAUACUAUGAAUAGUGUACUAGCUCAAUAUUCUCUCUCUCUCUUUAUAUAUAUAUAGAGAGAGAGAGUUAAGCUAGAAUGCUAUCGGUAGCAAACGAAUUUCGUUGCCACCCAUUUGUUUUCGAUGAUGGAGCCUUCAAAUCGAUGAUCGAUACCGUUGAAUAUGAUCCAUACCAGUUAAAGUAUAUAGAAACCAAAUUUCAAAUCUUUUCGAAUCAUUAGCUUAAUGAUCAAAGAUUUCAAAUUUUAUAAUUUUAAUCAUCAAUAUAAGACGUUUUCUUAUUUAACGACGUAAAGAUAUUCAAAUCAAUUGAAUUUUGGUUAGAAAAUUUUUUAAACUAUUUAGAACAAGAUUUAUAUUCAUGAUCUUGAUAACAAGACUUCCAUCAUCACUUUUUAAAGAAUUUUUAUUUUCAGCUGUUCAUUUUUGUGUUCACUUAAUGGACAAGUGAACAAUAUCGAAAAAAUAUGAAAUUUUAUUUCUAGAUGCUUCAAAUGGUAUAGAUUAUGUUCAACGGUGUCGAUCGUCGAUUUGGAGAUUUCAUCAUCGAAAAUAAACGGUUGGCAACGGAGCCCGUUUACUAUCGAUAGUAUUCCAGCUCAACAAUAUAUAUAUAUAUAUAUAUAAUAUAUUAUAUUAUAAUAAUAUAUAUAAUAUAUAUAUAUAUAUUAUAUUAUAUAUAUGGCGUAAUAGCGGCUAGCUAUGCUAUCGAAAGCCUAGAGAUAAUGGUGAUUCUAAUUUUUGACCCUUAGAUCAAUUCCUUUGAUCAUUUCUAGCAUGUUGAUUAACUACUAUUAUUCUGUGGAGACCACUCAACUUUAGAAAUACUACUCAACCCUAGGGAGGACUGCAAUCAUUCCAACCAUAUAAUUUUUGAUCCAAGGAUCGAAAAGUCGGAAGCGUCAAAAUCUCACAGCUUCCGAUAGCAUAGUAGCUCUACACUAUAUAUGCUUAAGAACAAAGCAGAGUAAAAGUGAACAACCUCUUCUGGCGAGACUCCGGCGUCUUCGAGACUCUUCAGAAUACAAGAUGAAACACCGAGGCCGUCGGAUCUCGGAUCUGUUAUAUGGUAAGCGUCGCAGGUCACCGCACCUCCUAAAUACUCGGCAAAUAUGGGCGCGUCGCGGUUCAUGGCAUGUUCCAGGCUCUCCAAAACCUUUUUUUUUUUUAAUACAAAGAGAAACUAUUAAUUAAUUCCAUGAAUGAGAAGAUACAACACAAGAGGAUGAAGUGACCCUGCAGAUUUAUAAUUCUUUGAAUAAUAAGAAUUUUUUGUUUUGAGGGAAUGAAGAGCUUACACGCUCAUAAUAAAUUUUGUCAUUUUUCAAUAUUAUUUAUCAAGUCAUAAAGAAAGUAUUCAAAAUUAACGGCAAAAAAUAAAAUUUUCAUAAAAUGAGAUAAUAUGAUACUAAAAUUUAAAUCAAAGAUAUUAAUCUUAUUUUUUAUAGUAUAAAAAAUUUUAAUCAAAAUUUAACUUGAUUUGAUUAUUUCUCUACUGUUAAAUUUACAAACUGCUCAUCACGAUCAGCAAAGUAGUUGAUUUUGGACCCCUUCAAUCACUAGUAGAUAAAUGAUAUCAAAAAAUUAUAAAAUUAUAAAAAUAUUGACUAUCCAAAAAUUUAUAGAUAAAUUUUAUCAAUGCCUAUACGACGAAUGCACCUAUCCGAGGAUUAUCCAAUCCGUCCGUUUGUCUGGUCUACAUAAACAUACCAACACGCCUGAACCUUCCCCCAUGACGAAGCCAUCCCGGUCCCUGUCCCACGGCCGCGAUGCAGUCCUUGGGUAGUCAUUCCGCUGCGACAGCGCGCGGCAUGCGACGAACCCGCCAAGGCCGAUAGGGAUGAUGGAGGCCUCGACACCGCCCGCGACCAUGACGUCGGCGUCGCCGCGGCGGAUGUGGUUGGCAGCGGCGCAGAGGCAGUGGUUGGAAGUGGCGCAGGCGGUGGAGAUGGAGUAUGUGGGGCCCAUGAACGCGACGUCGAUGGCGAGCAGCGCCGUGCCCAUGUUGGUUAUGGCGUAGGGGAUGAAGAAGGGGUUGAUCUUCCGCGGGCCGCGCUCCACGAGCGCCUGCACCCCGUCGGAGAGCGUUGUGAAGCCACCCAUCCCACUCCCAACGAUCACGCCAGCCCUCAUCUUGUCCAGCUGAUAGGAACACUUUCUAUUAAUAAUAAUAAUACUACUGACAAUUGAUAUAUUCAUGAAGAGUAACAAUAUAUACUACGAAAGCUCAAGUUGGUUUCAGAAAAAAAAUGCACUAACAAAUUACUCUAUUAAAAUUUUAUCUUAAUUACAUGCUUUGUUAUAAAUUUUAUAAGCAAUUAGAAUGGAGUUUUUACCGAACAAUUUGUUAGUGCAUCUCAAAGUUAAUUAAGAAAGUUAGCAUCUGAAUUGAUGUAAUCAAAUUCAAUAGCCUCAAAAUGGUCCGAAGCUAUUUUUCUGGGAAAAAACCAAUAUAUAUCCUACAGCAUCGGAGCAAAUUUAACAAUUUUAACAUACUUAAUUGUAGGACCAAAAUUUUUAUUCUUACUAAACAAAAUUUUUAGUCCAACUAUAUUUGCGUCAGCCCAUAUUGUUGGUUUUAAUGAGCCAGCAUUAUGCCCUAUGAUAGAAGAUUAUGUUGAACUGAGUUAUGUUCGAAAUGACGUUAGACUGAAUUUUAUCAAAUCAUAUUCAAAGUGGCAUGAGGCUGAUUAGACCGAGUCAUAAUCGAAACCCGUGGGUAUUAUGUUUGUACGUUUUAAAUGAAUUAAUUGAUUGUGUAUUUCUAAUAGCUCGGACUUUUGGAAUAAAUGAUUAGUGCCAACGAUCCGAUAAGUUAUAUCAGAGACAUAGAUUGUGCAGAAACUGAAGAGGUGAUUGUUGAUUUAAAUAGGCCAGCAUCUAUCCUGUGGCGGGAGGUUAUGUUGAACCGAGUUAUGUUCAAAAUGGCAUAAUGCUGGUUGGGCUGAGUCACAAUCGGAACUCAUGAACGCCGUAAAAUUUAUGGUUAAUACAAUACAAUUAAAAAAUUUUAUAAUAAAAUAAUUUAUUAUAAUUUGUAAUAUUUAUAUUUACAUAAUUUACUUAGGUUCAAUAUCUAAUCUCAACUAUGUUAGUAAAUUUGUGAAUUAUUCGCGAAUUUUUAAAGAAACGAAUUAAACGGCCGAAUUCGUAUUUUUUCUAAAAAAUUCGGAAAAAAACGUAUUUUUUUGGUCAAAAAUACUUAUUCGCAAAUAAUUCGUGAUGGCCGAAUUAUUGGGCCAAAAAUUCGGCUCGCCGCUUGCCGCUCGCGGCCGCGUUUGCGCUCGCGUCCGCGCCCGCUCUCCCCUGCGCCCGCUCGCGCUCGCGGCACGCUUGCGCUCGCGGCACGCUCGCCCCCCGCUGCCCGCCCCUGCCCCCGCCCCCGCUCUCACUCCCACGCUCGCUCACGCUCACGCUCGCGCUCGCGGCACACUCGCCCUCGCGGGCAGCGAGGGGCGCGGCUCGCCCAAAACAGAAAAAAAAAAAAAAAACCCUUUCCAACCAAAAAAAAAAAAAAAAAAAACCUUUCGGACCCGGCCCCAAAAAAAUCACUCGAUCAAAAAAUUUUAAUCUCUUAUGACUAUUUAAUCUCUUAUUUAUUUAUUUAUUUUUAUUUUAAGCAUAUAUAGUUUUGCUAUUUUUUUACUUAAUUAACUAAAUUUUGUAGCUCUUUUUCUUAUAUUCUUAAAAAUAUGAAUAGUAUUGCUAAUAGCAUAAAUCUGGAGAGAAAAAAAAUUUAAUUUAAUAGCCGAAUUUUUGAUCCCGAAUUUUUAAUUGGUGAACGUAUAAUAUCCGUAUAAAUCACGUAUCCGAAUAAUUGGCGAAUCCGUUUUUUACCCGUAUUUUUUAACGAAUUUAAAAAUUAGAAGACGAAUUUUAUCCGAAUUAUACCCGUACCGAAUUUUUACCAAAUUCGAAUUAACUAACUAUCAUCUUAAUAAAGCUUCCAAUUAAAUCUUAAAAUAGCAAUAUUCCAAAUUAUUUCGGAAUAAUUGAAAAUAGCAAGAUUUAAGCAAUAUAAAAUACUUCGGCCGGAAAAUUCUAAAACUUUUUUUUGACGGUAUAAUAAGAAUAACUCUCGUUAUUCUUUUUUAUUUUCUUUGAAUCAAACACCGUCUUAGUUAAAAAUAAAAAUAAAAAUAAAAAUUUUAAUAAAACAUGUGGAUAAAUAUAGUCCAGAACAGAAGUGUAAAUUUACACCUAUUUUAUAAGUGUACAGACAGUAUUACUCUUCAAAUUACUACCUACCUUCCUAUGAGCCGCACUUCCGACGCCGAGUCCGGCGCUCUCCAGCGCCUUCUUUCCGGCGACAACGGCGUACCGGAUGCAGUCGUCGUACCUGCGGUUGUUCUUCGGGUCGAUGUAGCCUUCGGAGUCGAACCCCCGGAUCUGGCCCGCAAACCGCGUGGGGAACGGCGACGCGUCGAACCGGUCGAUCGGCCCCACGCCGCUCUCCCCCUCCAGCAGCUUCUCGUAGAACCGGUCGGUGUCGUUCCCGAACACCGACACCGACCCCGUCCCCGUCACCACCACCCGCUUCUUCGGGUCCGUCUCGCGCCGCCGCGGCGCCGUCGUCGCCACCGCCGAAGCCACCGCAACGAUCCUCGCGACGCGGCGGCGCGAGAAGAGAGGGGGAGGGGAUGGGGAGAGGUGGAUGGAUUGCAUAGUUGUGGAGGUGAUAAGAGAGAUGAGCAAAAUUGAACUGGAAAGGGGGCGGGAACAAAAUGGAUUGGCGUGAUCUCCAGUUCACACAAACGAUGCUCAUAUAUAUUUGUACGAGGGAAAAAUGCACGGAUAGUCCCUCUCCUAUUUCGACAUUGCGAUUUGGUUUCUGAAAACUUUUGUAUCGGAUGCCGAUACUCAUGCGAUACAUGUUCAACAUGUGUCGAAUACUUCAUAAGAAUUUCCGACAUUUUCAAAAAUUUAAAAGAAAAUUAAAUUUGCUUUUUGAAGGAUACAUUAAAAAUAGUUGCUAUAUAGAGGAUAUGAACUGUUUGGUAUGCGUUAUCCUAUUAACGAUUUGUAGAAUUAUUGUAUUUAGUUUAUUCCGUAAGUAAGCAUGUCGGUAAUGUUGAGUUAUGUUGCACUAACAUGACAUGUGCAUUAUAAAAUUGUGAUUAACAAAAAGUAAAUAGUACUAUAAAUAUGAUGAAUUUUGUUUUUUCUAUUGACAAAAGUAACUUAAUUAUAUAUAUUUAAGAGUACAGCAGCUUUUGUGUUUUUAAAAUUCUCACAAAAAAAAAUAAAAAUUAAGAUAUUCAAUUUUUUUUCAAUUUUUUUAGUUAUCUAUUAAAUUUAAUAGAUGGUUAAAAUUUUGAAACCUUCUAAUAUUACUGUAGCUUUACUCAUAAUAAUAAUAUAAUAUUAAAAAUAUUUUAUUAUUAUAUUUCCCAAGUACAAUAUCUUAAUUUUUUAAAAACUUAUUGCUUUAUUGGAUCGUAUUGUAGUACGCGGCAUUUGUAUUCUAUACCCACGUACAACAUGCGGAUCGAGUUCUGCUAGAGUACUUUAUUUUUCUUCGAACCAUUUUAUAAAACAACUACUGUACUAUAAAAAUUUUUAUUUUUUUACAAGACUCAUAAUGUGAACUUUAAUUAAAUAAAAAAAAUUCAAACUCACGAUCUUUUAUUUUGCUACCAUAUGAAAUAAUCGUUAUACUCUAAAAUUUUAAAAUAUUAGAGAACGGUAUUUAUAUAUUUUUAUAUUUAACAUAUAUUUAUUCGAUUUAACGGUUUAGAUGUAAAAAUACAGUAAGUAACAACUUAUUAUUAUAACAGGUUAAUGUCAGGCCGGUGCCGGUUCGCCACCCGACUAAUGUCAGGACGGUAACCGGUCUUCCAAGUCAAAAUUAUCGGUACCCAAAUUAAAGUCGUCUUCCCAGUCAAAAAGGAAGGAAUUAAUUAUAUACAGGUCCUGUAAAUAUAAUAAAUUAUAAAUAUAUUUUUACGUACAAAUUUCAACGUUUAUAUUUUAUUUUUACAAAAGCUAUGAUAUUUUUAAAUAUAUUUCUGCCGUUAGAAUCCGUUAGAAAAUUUUAGUUAACCAUACGUUACAUAAUUAACCCUAGUUAGUUAAUGAGGUGAAUUGAUUUUUUUAUCACUCUUCAAUUAAUAGUUGAAAUUUUUAGAGGAAUAUAUUUGUGAUGACAAAAAGGUCAUUCCACUCAUAAAAUCGACAGUACUUUAACGGUAACAAACCAGAGUGACAUAUUUGAAAAUAUUAGGACUUUUAUAAAAACAGCAUAUAAAAAUUAAACUUUGUAGGUAUACAUCUACAACUUUUAUAGAGACAGCAUAUAAAAUUUGAACUUUGUAGGAAUAUAUCUAAAUUCACUAUAUUUACAAGGAUCUUAUAAAAUUAAUCCAAAAGAAAAAGACUAGCACGGUACCCAAAACGAGACUUUUCAUUAAAAAUGCAUAGAAACUAAAAAAAAUUAACAACACAUCAAUCUAAAAUACAUCAAAUUGAUACACAAUUUUUAAUUAAUUACUACAACCGAAUUUUGAAUUCAUAGCGUGUAACAUACCUCACCUUAUUAUCCUCGGAAGAGGGGAGAGUGUCAAGGGGCUGAUUCCCCGGCGUUCGAGAUGGACGAAGAAACACGUGUUGUGGACGAGUGCGAUGGAAAAAUCUUAGUUACGGAUUCGAAACUAGCAUGAAGGUGAGAGAGGGCGAGGAAAAGAAGAAGAAGAUUUUUCAUUACUAAAAUUUUGAUUAAGAGAAGAAGAUAUAAUAUCAUAUGAGUAAAAAUAUUAAUUUAUCUCACUAACUUACCAAAGUUAAGUAUUUUAUUUAUACUUAAGUAUAUUUUUUCAGAAGGGAUAUUUUUGAAAAUAUUAAAAUUUUUAUAGAAAUAAGAGUAAAAAGUUGAACUUUGUAGAAAUAUUUUUGUUAUUUGAUUUGUUUACAUAGAGUUAUUUGCAAUUAACCAUAAAAAAAAAAGUCAAACCAUCGUACCUUAAUUGAAAGAUUGGAAGAAAAAAAAAAAUCUCAUAACCCAAAAGUCCCAAACCCUAAUUGUUAGUAGUCAGCAAAUCAAAGUUGGCCGUCCUCCCUGUUAUUAUCCAGGGAAUUCUACACUGUCACAUUUGUACUAUGUCAUCAAUACAGGCCAAUCAUAUUUCUUCUUUCCAAAUAAAAAUAUUAUAAAAAUAUUUUUUUAUAAUCAUAAUGGGAUAAAUAUUUCUAAAAAGAGAUAUUUGAUUGAUUUGUUACGCCAUGUCACCAAUAUACUCCGUGCAUUCUAGAAUUUUUCGUUAUUAUCACAUCCACCGCUCGAAAGAACCACAAAGAGAUUUUUAUUAAAAAAGUAAAAAAUUACAAUUUCUUUUUUAGUGUAGAUUUUUUUCAUUCUUCAUGUCUAUAUAUUUUUUUUCUCAUUUUUUUGAGUUUCAUCUUUUAAUUUUUAUAGGUUGUUGGGUAAUAAAAAUAUCUUUUUUUAAAAAAAAAAAAGUUUUUUAUGGGUUUGGUCCUAUUACGGCUUCAAGUUUUCGGAUUCGGAUUCGGAUUUUGGAUUUUUAGUCGCAUUCGGAUUUAGAUAUGGAUUUUUAAAGUCCGUCUUAUUCGGGCUUGGUAGUCGGGUUCCAAUUCGGAUUUUUGAAAUCAGCCCUGAAUCCGACCCGUUGGCAUCCCUAUCUCCGUCUCAUCUUUCAUAAAUUGAAAGUAGACCGAUCCAAAUCGGUUUUAGAAAAUCAAAAUAAAAACUAAACUAGUAAUGUAGUCUUCCAGAUUAAAUCUAAUCAGAAGUUUAAAUUUAAUUUUAGUCAGGUCGGUUGGUAUAAAUACUUAAUUUGAAAUAAGUUUAAUUUAUUGAGUUAAUUAGUUUGAUUGAUUGAAUUCAAAACCUUAAAAUCAAAUAUUUUAUUUGAGAAGUUCUCAAAAUCAAAUCAAAUUAUUUGUAACGAAAAAAAAAAUAGAACCAUAUUAAACUGAAGUUGUUGCUUCUGUUUGGCUUCGUAUACUUAGUUUUGUAAUUUAUUAGAUCCCAAAUUAUAUCAAAAUGUUUUAUUUGAAAAUGUCAAAAUUAAACUGAAGUUUUGAUUCAGUUUGACUUUGCAGUAUUUUUUUUCCUUUUCUUUUAAUUAGGGCAUUUUACUCUGGACAUGAUUUAUUGAUCAAGUAAAUUUUUAAAGGGUUAAUUUUUUACAGGUCUCUAUAAAAUUAUCAAAUAGCAUAUAUAUUUNAAAUGCCCUAAUUAAAAGAAAAGGAAAAAAAAUACUGCAAAGUCAAACUGAAUCAAAACUUCAGUUUAAUUUUGACAUUUUCAAAUAAAACAUUUGACAUGAUUUAUUGAUCAAGUAAAUUAACAAAAUAGUUAUUUUUUACAGGUCUCUAUAAAAUUAUCAAAUAGCAUAUAUAUUUUUACGAAACUUAUGAUUAGACUUAUCUCUUCAAAAAAAUUUUAGUUUACAAAUAUACCCUCCAAAAGUUCUGAUUUGCUAAUAUAUGGUUCCUGCCAUUUGAUUCACUGUUAGUUUUUUUAGUAGUGGGUGUUUAAAAUAACUAUUUUGUUCUUAUAAAUUUGUUGUGUAAAAACGCGUGCGGUGUACCUCAUGUUGAGGCUCUCGCCUUCGACGUCGUCGCUACCGUAGGUCUCGCUGUCGCUAACCAUGAAUAAAAAAGAAUAAGUUUCGGAACAUGACAUCAAUAUUGGAAUACAAAUUACACAUAUAAGUGAUAAAAAGAUCAUUUUACCUCUUAGCUAAUAGCAGUUAUCUCUUUUAAUUCAUGAUUAUCUAAAUUUUGAUAACAGCAUGAUAUAUUUACAGACAAAAGGUCUUCUGUUAAGGAUAAAUUUAAUAACUUAAGUUUAUACAAAUAUAAUUGUUAUUUGAUAUAUUUGCAGGGAAUCAUAUGCAAUUAUUCCAUUUCUAAAUGCCAAUCAAACGCUUGUCAAAUUAAGGAACAAAAUUCUUCAAUAUUCUUUGGAAAAAAUAUCUCAUCUAAUAUAAUAUGAUAUAUCCAUACAUAAUUAAUGACUUAAUUUAUAUAAGUAUCAACGUUAAUACCAACGCAUUGCGCGCCAUGUCGUACCACAAACUCCACACGAUUCCAUUCACCUAAUUAAUAUUUAAUAAUUAAUGCCUUAGAUUUCAAUCUAAUUUGGUUCAUAUAAUCUACAUUAUCUAAAAAUUUGAUGCAGUAAAAAUUUUGAUAUUUUGGAAACACAUAUAUCUUGCAUCAGGUAUAAUUAUUUAGAUAAAUCAAACAGUGGAAAAACUGAUGCAUAUGAUUAGUCAUAUGUGUGUCGGAUGAGCUCGAACUAAUAACGAGAUUUAAGUAUUUUACGCUGAUGAAUUUAGACCCAACAAAUUAUUAUUAGUAUUAGCGAUCAGUUUGUAUGAUUGAGUCUGGCGAGAAUGUUAGGGUUUAAAAUGAGUUAUUAAUGCUGAUGGGCCACAUCGCUACGGCUUAUGCUAUUAAAACCUAGGGUUUGGUUGAUUUAUUUGUUUAGUCGUAUUUCCAAAGCUAGAAAUAAAUAGCAUUGGUCGUAUUGCCAAUAAGCCUACGAGCCAUUUAUGUUUCAAUGGUUAAUUAGGUGGCAAAAUCUACAAAGAAUCUGGUACGUGAUCUUGUAGAGGUGGAGGAUUAAUUAAAGAAACACCACGUGAGGUGCGAGAGUACCAAAAUGUGGAGCUUAGAUUUAGGGGUUUAUGAGUGGAAUCGAAAUUGAAAAUGAUAUUCGAUUGCAUUAAAACGAAAAAUAAUGACGAAUUAUUUAAAAAUAUUUGGUUCAUUAGUGAAAUAAAAGUUUAGAAUUUUCUGAAAAAUAUUUGAUUAAGAGAAAGGGAGAGUCUCUGUAAGAGAGAGUUUUGAAUGAUUUACUAGGAAUGGAGCCAUAAAUCAGAUUGGGCCAUAAAUGUAUUCGGUCAUUACCAUUCCAGAGUGGAAUAGGAAUUAGAAUCCGAUUCCCGUAAAAUAAACGGUAACUAGUGAAAUCAAUAAAUUCUUAUUCCGAUUUAAUAGUCUAAAAUACUUGAAUCAAAUAAGUCUUUAGAGUUUGUGUCAGACAUUCGUGGCAAUCUGUACGUGCGCUUGCUCAGAUCAUGUCAUGAAAUUAGCAUCCGUUUGUAUUCAACUACUGCAAUUGGUUCGAACUACAUCUGCAGCCGUUACGAAAAGUAAUUUUGAACAAAAGGUAAAUUUAUUUUUUAAUUAUUUUAUAAAAAAAUAUAUUUUUAUGCCGGAGGUAAUCUCACGACUAUAUAUUUAAAGUGAUAAAAUACAGACAAGUAUAGUGGAAGGGUUUAGUAUGAACAUGAUAUGAUCUAUAUAGCAUAUAAAAAUUAUAAAAUUAAAUACAUAUCAAUAUUCAUGAUGAUAAAUAGAAUUAUAAUAUAACGUAUAUAGAGUCAUAGAAAAAAAUAAUUUUUACCAAUCAGCAGAAGCGAGAAGUGAAACGAUGAUAUAAAUAUUAUUAACCAAACCUUAGGUGAUUUAAUUUUUCCUCUCGUCCAAGGCAAAAUUCUAUAGAACUGAAGCUAAUAUUUUAUCAGAAUGAUGUGAGAAGUUGGUAAGACCAGUAAUCUUUUAUAUAGAGUUCAUAUCGACUUUCCAUCGAAGUUUGAUUACAAUUUUAUUUUAUUUAAAUAGAUAGAAAAUGAGUACAAUAUAUUAUAUCAAUCAAUUCUAUAUCUAUUAAAUCUUUAUUUAUAAAAAAAAUCAUAUUUGAAUAUGAUUAAUUAAGUUUUUAUGAAAAUUCUUACAGGAUAUCCAACCUUUAAAAGUUAUUAUUUAAUAUCUAACCUUUCAAUUUAUUGAAUAUCAGUCACUCAACGACACUUUGACUUCAAAUUUUGAAUGUAUCAUUUAUCUUCAUAGAUUUAACUAGUAUACUUCAUGCGAUAUUCACAACUACAAAUUUAAUUAGCUUAAAUUUUGAAGUCAAAGUAUCUUUGAGUGACUCAAAUUAGACAAAUUGGCCAAUAAGUAAAAUUAAAAUUUUAAAAAAUUUGAUAGCCAACUCAAGUUGGUCCAUAGUUCACAUAUACUUUUUACUUAAAAAAAAAAAAAACAAAUUUCUUGCUAUCCUGAUUGACUGAAUGUAUAGAAAAUUGACAAUAGAUCAAAAUGUAAAUUGAGUGUAGAGAUCAAAUCUAAAUGAACAAAGUGAAGUAGCAUGCUACAUUCCUCUCUCUCUCUCUCUCUCUCUCUCUCUCUCUCUCCCAAAAAAAAAAAAAAGAGUUAAACAUAGUGCCAGCAAUUAAAUUUAUCUAAGGAAAAAAAAUAUAUAUAUAUGAGCCUCAAACAAUGCAAAACCCAUUUACAAUGAUAAACUUUAUGAAUGUCUAUUCAUUCGUCAGUCCUAAUUAAGUUAGGUUUAAGUUUAACCACCAAAACCCAAGCUUUGUAAAUUGUUACUAAUCAUCUCUCAUUUUAAAUAAAAAAUGAUAAUUUUUAUUUUCUAGAGUAAUCUCAUUAUACCAUAUAAAAAAUAAUAAACAUAUACAAAAGUAACUUUCAAGUUUCAACUACGAACAACCAAAUAAAAUAUUUCUAAUUUUAUCGACCUAAAUUAUAUGCAACCAAACAAAUUAGAUGCAAAAAAAAAAAUUAUAUUUGCAGUUGUUAUGCUAAUUAUAUGUAUCUAUAAAACGCUAGAUUCAGAGGUUUUUUUUAAAAUACUAUAAUAGAGUGCGAUCAAAAUUCAUUCAUAACUUAAUGCCAAAUGCAAUGGCCCAAUCACUGAGCAUAAUUAAUUUCUUUAAGAAAAACUUAAUUGAUGUGAUACAUAUUUUUUUGAAAAUAAAAUAGACUAAUUGUUAUUAUCCGAAUAAUUGAUGUUUAAAAGAAUUUAUUUUAUACUUUUCAACUAAUGUAAAAUUUUUAAUGGUUUAAAAAUUUUUAAUGGUAUAAUUAAUGUUUUAAAAUUUUUUAAUUGCAUACAUGUCCCUGCAAAUAUAGAGAAUUACAAAUAUAUUUCUAUAAAAUUCAACUUUCAUAUGUUGUCCCUACAAAAGUCCUAAUAUUUUCGAAUAUGUGCCUGUCGUUAGAAUCUGUUAGAAAAAUUUAGUUAACUAUGGGUUAAAUACUUAAUCCUGGUUAAUUUAUGAGAUAACUUGACAUUUUUAUCCCUCUUAUAUUAUACUGUUGUGACUUCUAGAUGGACAUAUCUGUGAUGGCAAAAUUGACAUUUUGUUUUAUUUAUUUGUUGUUAAAAUAUAAACACGUCUCUAAUGGUAACAAAUUAGAGAGACAUAUUUAAAAAUAUUAAAACUGUUACAGAAACAACAUAAAGUUAGGGGCAAUUGCUUAUAUACCCCUGAAAAGUUUCCGACUUUCUAAUUUAUCUCGCUAAUAUUGAAAAUACCUUUUUUAUGUUCCAACCUAUUUCAAAUAUACUCAUAGAGUUAACAUCUGUUAAUGAACUCUGUUAUCUCUAUAAAAUUACUAUUUUAUCCUUUUCAAAUGUACCCUUCUACCAGCACUGACUUUUCAUAUUUGCCCUUAAGUUAGGGGCACAAAAAGUAUUUUGCUUUUUUGUCUUUUCAAAUAUACUCCUUCUACCAUCACCAACAUUUCUUAUUUGCUCUUAAGUUAAGGGCAAAAGUAGCAUUUUAAUUUUUUUAACUGUGGUAGAUAUUUAAUUCACGUUUAACCCAAUUUAACUUAAUGGGUGAUAACUAUAGAGAUAUUUUGGAAUAACGGAGGAACAUAUGAGGGGUAUAUUGAAAAGAAAAAAAAAAAGUAGGGAUAAAUGACAUAUUUUCAAAGUUUUAAGGAGUAUAUAGGCAAUUAUCUCUAAAGUUAAAUUUUAUAAGGAUAUAUUUGUAAUUUACUAUAUUUGUAGGAAUCUGUAUGUAUUUAACACUAUUAUUUAUAUGAGUGCUUGUGUUUUUGGUCUAAUGGAUCAAACAAUUUUGGUCCAUUGAAUCAAAAACCUCCUUCCAAAGUCUGCUGUGGCAAACCUUGGGAGGAGAUCUCCUGGCCCUAGGAGCUCCAACCUUAAGGCCCAAGGCAAUGUUCGGGCUGUGCUAGCCCGGCUGGCAUGGCCCAAGCGGGACGUGCCGUGCCUGGCCGUUGGGCCCCAGACGAGAGACCCAGUACGACUCUCAACCUCGGUCCAGGCCGGGCUGGCACGGCACCCAUGCCGUUCUCCAGUCCGGUCGGAGAUCAUGGGCCGCCCGGCCCGUUUUACAUUCCUAGUCAUACACAUUAUAAUUUAUGGGUCUGUAUUGUUGUAAAGCCUCAACACUCCCACGUCAGAUGGAAAAAUGAUUAGGCUUAGUUUCGUAUUGAGAUCUAUCUAACAUUAUUAGAUAAAAUGGAGUUAGAGUAAAAGUAUAUAGAGAUAUGCUUUUGCGUUCUCCGAUGACACCGUAGAAAGUAUAUCAUAAUCAACUCAUCGCUAUGUGCAGAACGCAAUAUUACGUACGAAAACAAACAUGGUAUUUUCCUAUCGUACUUUCUCACCGCACGUAACACAAUCUCCUCGCAAUUCCAAAUAAAGUCUAAUAUAUAUGAGGCCCACACGCUAGUAAUAAUAAUUAAAUUUAAUUAUUUUGGGUCUAACAAAUUAUUAUUGCUAGCGGAUAAGAGAGUUACAAAAAAAAAAAAAAAAAAAAAAAAAAAAAAAAAAAAAAAAAAAAAAAAAAAAAAAAAAACCCGACCAAAAACGAAGAAAAAAACCUUCAAAGAAUCACUUUCCCAUCGAACUCCGAUUCGACCAAAACCGGGCGAGUCGGAAUGGGAAGGAUUUGGGCGUCGCAGUCCGCUCUCCUUCUCCGCGACUUCCUCCUCAUCUUCCUCCUCUUCUUCGGGUACGCAAAGCUCGCUCACAAGUUUCUUUUUUUUUUUGUGUGUGUACGUCCUCUAAAAUACUCUUAUUAGGGUUUUACUCAGCUUCUACCCAAAUUCUCGCAUCAUCCGAACAAAUUCGCUUUUGUUUCAGUUCAAUUUCUCACACUUCGUAUUUGCAUUUGAUCCGCCCUUUAUUUAGCAGUGCUAAUCAUAGAAUCUUUCUACUUAAAACCCUUUUUUAUUAUUAUUAUUUUUUAAAAAAUAGAAUCUCUGUGUAGGAAUAAACAAACGGUAAAUUGCUUCCAAUCAUUAACAAGGAAUAAUAAAAAUUUAGAAGCAGCGUUUUUUUUCUUUUGUUUUUAAAUUCUUUUUUAAAUCAGUUGUCAUUCGUCAUUUUGCUGGAAUGCAUUGUAAGUUAACCAAUCAUGACAAUAAAUAAAAAAAAAAUCCUUCUGACUGUAUAUAAAAUUAUAUAGAAUUAGUUUUAAAAAAAAUAAAAAAUAGCAACAAUACCAAAUGAGGCCUAAACUAUUUGAUUCGUUUUUACAACACCUCUAGAGAGCCUACCUUUAAAAAAAAAAAAAAAAAAAAAAAAAAAAAAAAAAAAAAAAANGCUCUGUCAACUAAUAGUCAUUUAUUGUCACAAUUAUAUUUAGUAAAAAUUAAGAAAUUAAAUUAUUCACUGAAUUACUAUUAGAUUUAAUAAAUUUCAAAAUUAUUUUAGUGAAAUAAUAUAAAUAAAUAAUUAGAAGUUAAGUAAGUAUAAAUAAAAAAGGGGUAACGUCUUUUUUACACUAAUUAUUUAGUCAAUAUAUUUUUCAUCAAAAAUUUGACUAGGUAAAUUUUGUUUAUUUGCUAAAAUUUCGAUUUGUAUGUAUUUUUGGCCCCCCUCAUAAUCGAGUGCUAGCUUCGUCUCUAACCAUAUAAUAUGGCGAUCUUCAGUAUGGUAUUUCACUGCGUAAAUGUUUACAUCAUAAUAAAUCGACUCGUGUAAUGUGUGCGAUAUGAUGUAUCAAUGUGGUGAUUCAGUACAUAGAUCCGACCUUUACUUUGACAAUGUCGAUCACUUAAUGAAAUUUAUCCUUCGCAUAAUUUUGUGUGGAUCUUGUAUACUCGCAUGUUAAAGGACUUCUCUCUGUUGCUUGUUUACUAAAUGAUUUUGCUGAUGUUCAGUGGUCCAGUUUAUGUUAUGGUUCUGGAAAAGCCUGACGCCGUCUCGCGAUGGCGCGCUUUGAUUGGACCAACUGAUGCCAGAAAGGCUAAAGUUUCUCAUCCUAGCAGGUUAAGAAUUUCUCAUGUACUUUUGGUUUCAUAUACCUAUAUGUGUUUGUGCGUGUAAGCAUGCCCGUAUAAACUUAAAUGAUGAAAAUUUGUCUUAUUUCAAGUGUGCGCAUAUUUUUGCUUUUGAUUUGCAGCAUUAGAGCCAUGUGCGGGUCGGACUUGGAAAGGAAUUGCGUCCAUGGUUCUGAUUCGCCUCAAUCGGCUGCAAGGGAAAUCUCAUUUUUCUUCGGAGACAUCUCUCCAGGUUCUUUUCUUCUUUUGCCUCUCUCUCUCUCUCUCUCUCUCUCUGUCCCUCAAUUAGCCAUGUUGAUGUUGUCCCUGCUGCUUCUGUUCCUUCACCUUAGCGACAACAUACGAAUUACCAAGAUGAAGCAUCGAUUUGCUCCUUUUUUCAUUCACUUGUGUACUUAAUAAGGGAGAAAUUAUAGCUUGAACCUGGUUUACAAUGACAACCGUAGAUCGCCAGAGUAUCUGCCAUCCAUCCCUUCUCUCCUUUAAAACCACAUUGUCUGGUGAGUUUUAGACUUCUCGUAUAUAUAAAAUAAACGCGGUGAGGAUUUUGAGUAAGGAAUGGAGAACAGAUGAAUGCGCUAUCUGCGGUCGAUACGACAGAAGAGAUGUUGGCAAUAGUUUAUCCUUUCGGCUGUAGAAAAUAUUUAUUUAUUUUUAUUUAUUUUCCAGCUGUUACAAAGCAUGACGAACUUUAGAAGGUUACCGGGAGGCACAAAUUCAUCUAAAAAGACAAAUCGAAGCAAGCGGCUCGGCUAUUUCUCAGGUAGUGCGAACGACCGGUCCAUGGAAUUCUAGUUACAAGUCAUUUAUCCGGUGCCCAUGGUUUCCUCCACGCAGGCGCUUGUCGUCGAUGGAACUUUAUGCGACUUUUAGUUUUUUAUUGCCUCGAUCGUGUAAGAAAACUCAAUAUCAUCAAAUGUUAUCGGCCAAAUUGGGAAUUUGAAUGCCCUGUAAGUGUACAUUUCCUAAAUUUAAGGCUGCUUACUAUAAAAUGUUUCCAGUGUACUUUGAGGGACUCUUUUUAAGUUUGUUUCCAGUGUAUUUUGAAGUACAGUGUUUCAGAACAAUGAAUCUUAAUCAUUUCCUGCUGCAACUUACACUUAAAGCUGAAGCCAUUGCAGGCCCAACUAAGCAACAAGAGAUCAACUCUUUGACUAGCAGGUUAGCUAUGCUAAUUGUUGAUCUGAGACUCUACAAGCAAAGGUAAAUUUAUGACACGGUGACGCGUCGCCGCAUUACUUUCAUCCUAACCGUCCAUUCCAACCCAUCAAAUUACCCUGUUACAUCACUCUGAACAGGACUUACUAUGUUGUCAAUGAUCUUUCGGUAACAUUGCUCAAAAUCAGACGAGUCGACAAUUCUUCGCCGCUCCACUCAAAAUAAGAAAUGGCUCGACAAAAUUCGUCCCGAGUGUUAUUUCCAUGUAAAUGUAUUACGUAAUAACUCUGUUACAGUAUAAUUCAGUCGUCACGAUUGUGAACACCCACAAACCCAGUACAAGAUUAUUGCGCGUGAAAGGUAAAAAGAUCGAAAAGAAAGAAAAGAGAUCCGAACAGGCCACAAAUCAGCUCAGCUCGGAAGGACGAGGUAAUUGAGGAAGGGUUCUGCGUUGGGAGCGAGAGCCUUGAGCUCGUCGCGAGUGGCCAGUUGGAAAUCCUCGAAUUGGAAUGCAGGGGCACAGGUGCAGCCUACCAGCGAGUAGUGCAGCUCGGAGUCCCGCUUCCGAGACUUAACAAGGAGGCUGCCGUCUGACGCAAAGGAUUCUACGUCUAAGGUUGGAAACGAUCCGAACCACACGUUUGGCGGUACGGUGUAUUGCGGCCGGUGCCCGGCAUUGAGAUCUGGGCCUAGGACAGUUAGCUCGAUGUGACCAUCGUCAUGUAGCUCAAAGACCUGGAUGUACAACACAAGCAGGUAAAAAUAAGUGACUUUUAAGUAUACACUACACCUAUAAAAUCUGAAAUUUUCAUGUUAGAACCGCAAAAGUGCAGUUUCUUACAGUUCACGAUUGAAAGUUGUUUCUCUGAUAGGUAAACAUUAAGCACAAUAGUAAACAUGUAAGAAAACAAAGUUUCUGAAGGGCAUUAAGAAAUUCGGAUAACGGAAGGGGCAUAAAGAGAUAAUCAUUCACUGGAAUAUAUAAAAGUAAUGUGGCUGCCGUUUGAUAUUAAGUUAGGGUUUCUAACCGUGAGGGGCUCGCCCAUGUAAUAGUGCCAGGUUUCGGCACAGGGGAUGCGGUGGAGGUGCGAAACACUACCCGACGGCAGCAAGAAGUAAAUGGCUGUGCUCACAGGGCGCUCGACCUUAUCUGCACAAGUUUUCAGUUACAAGACUCAUCGAUUAUAAGCACUAGAAAAUAACGGGUUUAGAUGAUUUAUCAGUAUCGUUGCGUAGGAAAAGACAUAACUGAAAACAAUAUUUCAGAAAGAAAUACCACACAUCGUUGGAAAUUUACGACGCCAUACCACAGGAAUAUUGGAACACUUUUGCAUACAUGUAUAUAGACAUAUAUAAAUGCAUAGCAGUAUGUAAAUAUAGGAACUUUAGUUUUCAUUUUCACUUUCUAUUGAAUCGCUUUUCGCAAAUUAUGAUGACAAAUAAACAAGGAAGAAUCUGUAAUUGAUCCGUUAUAUACAUUGCAAAACCAUUUCGCUAUUAUCAUUCAAGAUGCAAGAAAUACUAAAACCAUUUCGCUAUUAUCAUUCAAGAUGCAAGAAAUAAUAAAACCAUUUCGCUAUUAUCAUUCAAGAUGCAAGAAAUAAUAAAACCAUUUCGCUAUUAUCAUUCAAGAUGCAAGAAAUAAUAAAACCAUUUCGCUAUUAUCAUUCAAGAUGCAAGAAAUAAUAAAACCAUUUCGCUAUUAUCAUUCAAGAUGCAAGAAAUAAUAAAACCAUUUCGCUAUUAUCAUUCAAGAUGCAAGAAAUAAUAAAACCAUUUCGCUAUUAUCAUUCAAGAUGCAAGAAAUAAUAAAACCAUUUCGCUAUUAUCAUUCAAGAUGCAAGAAAUAAUAAAACCAUUUCGCUAUUAUCAUUCAAGAUGCAAGAAAUAAUAAAACCAUUUCGCUAUUAUCAUUCAAGAUGCAAGAAAUAAUAAAACCAUUUCGCUAUUAUCAUUCAAGAUGCAAGAAAUAAUAAAACCAUUUCGCUAUUAUCAUUCAAGAUGCAAGAAAUAAUUAGUAUGGAAUGCAUCGACAAGUAAUGUUUUUUGUAUGACAUUACUAUCAGCCAUCCGCCUCUACUAAGCCGAAUUUGUAAAUUACAUAUUACAUUAAUUUGCAAAUAUCAAAUCAACAUUCAUCAAGAAAAAGAGAGACUUCAACUGAUUCAUCCGCAAAAAGCUUCCGCUAGUUUCUUUUCCAUGAUGACCAUAUCUCUAUCGAUAAAAUGUAAUGUACAAAGGUUCCAAGAUAGCGUCUUAAUGGUUUCUAUAUCAGAACCAUGUCGGUACUUUAUUUUGAGAAAAUUGGAUAUUUGAGACAAAAAUCUAAUGCGUGUCAAUGCUGUACCAAAACGCUUUUGACAAUUUCAUGCAUUUCAGACACAGCUUUUGACAAUUUCAUGCGUUUCAGACACAGGAAAAAACAACAAAAAUUUAUCAUACAAGUCUUUCGCGAUGUUCCUUUUCUCUACCUAGAUUUCACUCAACUCCACUUUAAAAUCGCACAGAGUGAAAUCCAACAAUACAUAAGGGUGCAUCUGAAAAGACUUGUCUGAUAUAAAGUUUCUCCAAACACAGCUACGAUGUUAAAAUGAGCUAGUUUUGCCAAAAUCUAACUAUUUGUAAGAACUAUAUGAAUUCUCUCUUUUAAGAUUGAUAAAAAUGUACCGAACUUACUUGAGGUACGAACUAUUUUGAGUCGACCACCCAAUCUUUCAAAAAUUUAAUUUUACUACCCAACAUUUCAAUUUGUUUGAUUUGAAUAAGUCAACGGUACUUUGACUUCAAAAUAUGAAAGCGUUAUUUAUCUUUACAAGUUAUACUCCACUCAAUUAUUGCAACUAUCAAUUCAUUAAAGUAUGCAAUUAGCUUAAAUUUUGAAAUUAAAGUAUCAUUAACCUACUCAAAUCAAACUAAUUGGAAAGUUGGAUUGUAAAAUCAAAAUUUUGAAAGAUUGGAUAAUCAAUUCAAAAUGGUCCAUAAUUUAGGUAAAGUUCUGUGCAUAUUUACCUUUAAGAAUUGAUAUUCUUACUACUUCCUUGGCGAUUUAACUAAUGUUAGUCACUCUAAAUUGAUGGAAUAUCGAUCUAUGUCAUUAAUUAAAAAAAAAAAAUUGAAAGCUCGGAUACCAAAUAUUAAAUUUUAUAGUUUAGGAAAUUUCAGAUGGUUCCGGAGCAUUCAACACAAAGAUAAGCUAAUGAUCAUUUCAAAAGGGAUAAACCCCGAAAAUCCUCACACAAAUAUCAUCUCAUUGCUUAAAUUAAUACCUAAAAGACACCAAUUAUACAUAUUUUUCGAUCUCACUACUCCAUCUCCAAUAACAAAAAACGUUAAAAAAAAAAAUCUAACUUUUGUUAGGUUUCUCAUCAAUUUCUCAACAACAUGGCAAAACCCACAACAUCAAAUCGCAAAACCACAUAAGAAAACACAAAUAUUAGCACUGCGGAUGGAUUUCUCAACCAAAAAAUUCGGAAAAAAGGGGAAAAAAAGGGGGAAAAGAAAGGAGAUUACAGUGAGGAGGGAGGAGGGAUUUGGGGAGUGUGAUGGAGAAAUCUCGGAAGGUCUCAGCGAAGAAUCCCCCCUCCGGGUGCGGCUUCAAAUCCAAGAGCGACGCGAUCUCCGAAGAGGUCUUCGUAUUCGCGGAGCUCCCCAUCAUCUUCGAUCUCCUAUAACACUUUUAGAGAGAGAAAGAGAGGGGAUGAGAGAGAGAGAGAGUGAUCGCUUGAGCACUAUUGCUACGAUGAUGAUAACAACUCCCCUUCUGGCUGUUGUUGACAAAGAGGUUUUAAAAAGGACCAAAAAAGUAUGGGGACACCCCUCAACUCUUUGGUUCUUAUGAAAUGACCCACUCAAACUUUAUUUUCCCGUGAAAUGAAUAUAAAAGACAGAAAAAAUGUACAGAACUUAUUUUAUUUAAACUAUAAAUUAUUUUAAAUUUUUAAUUAUUAUUUAAUUUUUUAAUUUAUUUGAUUUGAAUCAGUUAAUGAUAUUUUGACUUUAAAAUUCAAGGUAAACUUUAAAUAUCACUCAUAUGGUUUCGUACUUUCUCACUGUAGUAUCAUGUGGUUUAAAAUGUAUCAAUUUAGUACCAUAUGGUUUUUUUUUUUUUUUCAUUAGCUUUUUUGUUCACAUUUCGUUAAAAGCCCCAUCUAGAUUUAUUAAAUAUUUACUUUAGUACCUUUUAGAUUUAACCUUGUUGGUUAUUUAACAAAAAAAUUAGUUGAGGAGAUAAUAAAAAGAGAAAAAUAAAAUCACGAAGUAUUAAAUUGAUACAUUUUAAACCAUUAGAUAUUAAAAUAAAAAAAUACGAAACCACAAGAGAUGAUAUUUGAAAUUUUUUCUAAAAUUUCAAAAAUAUACUAACUAAAUAUAUAAAAAUAAUUACACGGUACAAUACUAUUUCAAUACUAUUACAUUAGCAACACCACUUUAUAUUGUAGAACAAAGUUAUGAUAAUUUAAAAGUUUUGAACUAUAAAUUAUAAUAAAUUAAAAUUUAAAAAUUAAAUUAAAAUUUAAGAACUAAAAUAUUACGCGGCUCACAAUUUGAGGACCACCAAUGUUAUUAAGCCAAAAUUAAUUGGAAUGAGUUCCUCUAUAUGCUCAUUUAUUUUUGAUACUAUGCAUAUAUAUUGUGAUAUCCCUGGUAUUUAGCAGGAGAGGCUUGUCGACAGCUCUGGAGAGUGUCGGGACAAGUCCGAGUCACGUUGGCGCAAAGUAGACGCAAAACGGACUCAGCGGAGACGCGAGAGCAGGAUUUGGCAUUUGAAAUCUGCAAAUAGCAGAUUUUCUGCUUAUUGUACCGGUACAGCAUCAGGGGUGUACCGGUACACAUUUUGUACCGGUACAGNAAAAUAUUAAGCCCAUGGUGAACUAAAACCUAAAAUAGGGGGAGAUGAAUGGACACAUACAUGGCUAAGAGAACAUAGAGAAUGUAAUAUAAAUGGAGUAUUAAUAUACAUCGGGUGAAUGUAAUAGUCAUUUAUUGCUCCAAUCAAUUUUAACAAGAUAAAAAUAUCUCACUUUUUUCGACGUCUAAAAUAAGUCCUCCAACUUUAAAAUUUUAGUUAAAAAAUUAAUUGAGCCCUCUAACUUUUAACAAUUUAGUUAAAAAAAUUUAUUUCCAAAAUAGCUACAAAAACUAUUAAAUUUGAUUGGAUUUUUAAAUAAAGUUAUUAAAAUAAUUUAACUCUUCAAAUACUAAAAGUUAAAAAAUAUUAAUAAAAAAUAAUUUUUAUAAUAUUCAUAAGAAUACUUUAUAAUUUUUUAUUAUAAUUUUUUAAUUUUAAAAUUAAUCAUUAUAUUUUUAAUUAAUUAAAAUAUAAUUUAUUUACUGUAUAGCGCGGACCAUACACUAGUAAAAUUUAGUUUCUAGUAACUUUGAAUACUCUCAACGUAAGCGAAUAACUAGAAGUCAAAUAUUCUAUAAAUGAAAAUAAAGUAAAUGUGGACAAGACCUUUCAAUUUUUCUUUUUUUUGAGAGAUAGGUAGCACGCUACCCGUUUUAUUUAUUUUAUUUAGAAAUAAACUUAAGUAGAAAUGUGAAUCAACAAGGAUUCAAACUUGGGUCUCGAAUAUCAACCAACAAAUCUUUUACCACUUGCUCUAGGGACGGUCGGUGACCUUUCAAUUUUUAUUCACAAAAUUGGAGAAAUAGGGUUUGGUUGAGGCAACAAUUUCUCCCACUUAUUAGGAGGAAAAGUUGACACAUUUGGCCAGGUAUUGAUAGGACUUAUUAUUAUUAUUAUUAUUAUUAUUAUUGAUUGUUGAUUCUCCUGACUUUGUAGGUCAUCUAGAAGAUAGACCUCUACAUUUACUUUUGACAAUAAAUAAAUUUAAAUAUUUAUUAUUUUAUAAUUAUUUUUAUAAAUUUUAAAAUUUUUUAAUUAAAAUAUCAAUUUAAAUAAAAAUAACUUAUUGUUUAUAUUUUUAGAUUAUAUAUAUAUUUUUUAAAAAAAUUAUAAAAAUACGCCCGGCCCGGAACAGCCCGUGCCUUUCGGGCGAGAGGCCGUGCUCGGCCAGAGGCUAGGGAGCUUGGGCCCAGCACGGCUCGGCCUUGAUUUGAUGUCGGGUCGGCCCGGGCUUGUCCCUAGUCUGUUUCGGCCCGGAUAAAUGUGGGUCGUGCCGGUCCAGGCGUCCAGCACGAUCCACAUUACGCCCCUAAUUUAGUGUUCGAGUUUAUGAAAAUACACAACUCAAUUAAUAAGCUGAACUGAAAAUACCGUUGAGUUUGGUAAUUUUUACAAUUGGCGUGAGAAAUUUUUAAAUGGCCGUAACUUUUCAUUCGAGUAUCCGAUUUUACUGUACAACUUCAAUUCAUGAAACACUUUUCAAGGUCGACGCAUCAAAUUGUGCGGCUAUUUUUGCCGAGUUCGGAACCCAAAUUCAUUUGCUUUGGCCUCUAUUUUUUACAUUUUUAGAUUAUUUUAAAAAAAUUCUAUAUUUUUUUAUUUGAUUAUUUCUAAUCUGAUUAGGUUUAAAGAUAUAUUGAAAUUUAUUAUCUUCGUCUCGUAGGAUUCGAAUAUCGCCUCCAUAUUAGACACGACGUUCAGUUAAUAUAAUUAAUAAUAGUUCAUCUUUGUCGAAAAAUUAGUUCUUCGCGUAUCAUCUUUUUCCGUCCGUAUGCUUCUUCUCUCUCAGUGCGGUUUUGAUCAGCAUCAGUUUAGAAGAUCUAAUUGCGAAAUUGAAAGCUCAAGUUUAUUUGUAAAAGAAAUAGAAAGAUAAAAAAGCGCAGCGCAGAACAAGCCCAAAUCCGAACACAGAAUCAGGGUCCACCCUAGAAGAUAUUAAGCCCAUGGUGAACUAAAACCUAAAAUAGGGGAGAUGAAUGGACAUAUGGCCCAGAGAACAUAGAGAAUGUAAACAAAAUAAAGGCCGAGAAAAGAAUAAUGUUGUGGGUAUUAGAUGUUUUCAAUGUCAACCAAAACGUGAACUAACAACAGCUAUAUACGAGCUUUAUAGUUAGUAUUUGAAAUUCUAAGUUUAAAAUCUAAUUAUUUCACAUUAUUAGUUGAGUUCUUUUUUGAAGAAACGAAAGAAGUGAAACUCAGUGUUUGCUAUCGCUUGUAUUUUUGACAAAAGAGAUUACAUUUCUUAUCAAAAUUUUCUUUCCAUUUUAGAAGGAUGUGUGCUAGCUAUUAAAAUGAGCUUUUGCUUGGAAUAAUUGAAAGAUAUCUCUUUUCAAAUGGUAACAUCUAAUUCCCUCCUUCAGCGUAUUCAGAUAUUCAAAAGAGAGAAAAAAAAAAAAAAAAACUUGGAUUGUGUUAAGAUUAUUUUUCAGUCAACAACAACCUUAGUGAUUGGCCACGAAAUGAACUAAUUUGAUACAUUUCUAAAAAUAAGAGUGGAUGAAGCCCAGAUACUACUACUACAAGUGCAAUUUACUCUUAAACAAUAUAUUAUUUAGAAGUCUUUCAAAAAAUUCGUUUUUGUGUUUUGUUUUGUUUUUUUCUAUUCUUAGUACUCUCACAUUCAUCGUUCCUUCUCUACCUUCAAUCCGUCGCCAAUUUACUAUGAACUGAGAAAAAGAAGGAGAACGGGCGAAACGGAAGAAACACGUAUCGGACGCAAACAGCGUCCUUCCACCACCACCUACGGCACCUAUGGCUGCUGCCACCGCCACCACUCUCAUCCUCCUCGUCGUCCUCCACCGCCACCUAGCUGUUUCUGCCGCCGCGGCUCCGUCCCCCGACGCCGCGGCCCUCCUCCUCCUCAAGGACUCCUUGGGCAACGCCACCGCCCUCUCCGCCUGGUCCCUCUCCGCCGAGUCCCCCCCCUGCGGUCCCCCCUCCCCCUGGCCCGGCGUCGUCUGCUUCCACGGCAUCCUCACCGGCCUCCGCCUCUCCGGCAUGGGCCUCUCCGGCUCCCCCGACCUCGACGCGCUCUCCCGCCUCCCCGGCCUCCGCACUCUCUCCCUCUCCUCCAACUCCCUCUCCGGCCCCCUCCCCGCCUUCAACCGCCGCCUCCCUGCCCUCAAAUCUCUCUACCUCUCCGGCAACCGCUUCUCUGGCCCCCUCCCCGACGACUUCUUCGUCGGCCUCGCCCACCUCAAGAAGCUCUGGCUCAACGCCAACGCAUUCACCGGACCCGUCCCUUCCUCCCUCACACGCGCCACCAGCCUCAUCGAGCUGCACCUCGAGGACAACGGCUUCACCGGGCAGCUCCCUCCCGACCCCCCCGCCGCGCUGUCGGAGUUCAACGCCUCCCACAACGACCUCGAGGGCCCCGUCCCCGCGAGCUUCGAAAAGUUCGGCGCGGGCGCGUUCGGAGGGAACGCGUACCUCUGCUACGGCGCCGACGACAAAAAACCAUGCAAGAAACCAGAGCCGGAGCCGGAGGCGACCCUCGGGGAGAAGGUGGCGAUGGCGAUGGUGGUGCUGCUUCUCGCGGCGGCCACGGCGGCCGUCUGCUUGAGGACGUGCCGGAAGCAGCGCGUGCGGGCGUUCGACACGCUCGGCGUCGACAACGGCGCGGUCGAGAGCGGCGACGAGAAGAGAGGCGUGCGCGACGGCGGCGGCGGCACUGACGCCGUCGUCGACGCGGCGAAAGGGUCGAGCCAUCAUAAUAAUAGUAAAAAGAGCGCCGUAGCGGACAGCGUCGUAUCAGCGCCAGCGGAUGGCGGAGGAGGAGGAGGAGGAGGGGCUGCAGGUAAUGUCGGGGGUGGUGGUGGUGGUUUGGGGAGUGGUGAUUUGGUGAUGGUGAACGAGGGGAAGGGGAGGUUCGGGCUGGCGGACCUGAUGAAGGCGGCGGCGGAGGUGCUGGGGAGCGGGGGGCUGGGGUCGGCGUACAAGGCGGUGAUGAAGCGCGGGGCGGGGGCGGCGGGGUCGGUGAAACGGAAUGCGCGACAUGAACCGGGUGGGGAAGGAGACGUUCGACGUCGAGAUGCGCCGCUCGGCCGCUGCGCCACCCAAACUGCUGCGCCGCUGGCGUUCACUACCGCGAAGAGAGAAGCUGCUCGUCUACGAAUACAUUCCAAAGGAGCUUGCUCUACGUUCUUCAUGGGACAUUUUUUUCCUUUUCUUUUCUUUCCUUUUUUUUUUUUUUUUUUUGGUCUUUUUAAGUAUAAGUGUAUAAAACAUGAUCUAUGGAUCCGUUUGAGCCGACUCUCGGGUGUUUUAAAAUUUUGAUUUUACAAAUCAAUCUUUUAAUUUGACAUUUUGACUUUAAAAUUUGAUUACAUUGUUUGUCUUUACAUGUCCAAUUAAUAUAUUUCAUACAAUUCUCAUAUCUAUAAUAACUAAUCAUUCCUAACGCAAGUGGUAAAGGAAUUGAUGGAUAUGGUAUCUGAUAUCUCAAAUUUGAAUCGUAGUUGAUUCAUAUUUUCAGCUAAAUUUAUUUAUUUUUAAAAAAAAUAAACAAAGCGGAUAGUAUGCUACCUUUCUCUAAAAAAAAAAUAAAUUUAAAAUCAAAAUGCUGUUUACUCACUCGAAUUAGAGAAAUUAAAAGAUUGAAUAGUAAAUUUAAAAUUUUGGAAGAUAAGAUAGUCGAUGUAAAUGGUCUAUAGUUCAGAUAAAUUAUUUAUAGAAUUUAUCUCAGCUAUUAUCUAUUUUGAUUUUACUAUCUAAUCUUUGAAAAUUUUAAUUUUGCUUUCUAAAUUUUUAAUUUAUCUGAUUUCAGCCAUUUAAUAUUCUUUAACUUUAAAUUUUGAAUAUAUUGCUUAUUUUUACGACUUUAAUUAUUAAUAUAUUUUAUAAAAUUUAUAUAAUUAUAAAUUUAUUUGAGGUAAGUAAUUAGUUUAAAUUUUAUGAUAAAAGAGUCGUCAAAUAAUUUAAAUUAAACAACCUAAAAGAUUGGAUGCUAAAAUAAAAAUUUUGAUAAGUGAGAUAGUCAGAAUCAAAAUAAGCUAUGCACAUUUUAAUCUUUUUUUUUUUUUUUUUAAGAGAGAAAGAUCAUAAAGCUAUCCACUUUGUUCAUUUUUUUUUAAAAAAAUAAAUUUAACUAAAAAUAUAUAACAUAUUUUUCUCAUAUUUUUAAUUGAAUUAAUGAAACAGUUAUAACUUGAUUUCAGAAUGUGUAACUUGAAUGAAAAUAAUUAAAUUUUUAGGUACAAUUAAAUAAAAAGUAGCCGCAGUGUCUAUAUUUCAAAAUGGCCUAAUAUUUGUGCUUAAUUGGUUCCAUAAAUCUUUGUUGCAUGUUGACAUUGUAGCAUUAGCUGGAUUAAGAGCCUCCAACACAAGUUAUAACAUCUCCAUUUCAUUUGACUUUGACUAAAUGUUAGUGAAAGCAAGUUUAAGUGAAACAUUGUAAUUUAAAUUUAAUUUGUAUCGGAAAAAUUUUCAUACCGAAUAAAUUAUUAUUGAAGUUUUAAUGGUCCAACCUCGCAGGCGAUCGAGGGAUGGACCACGCGGCCCUGGACUGGCCGACGCGGCUGCGGAUCGCGCGGGGGAUCGCGCGGGGGAUGGCGUACCUCCACUCCGAGCUCUCGUCGGCCGACAUCCCCCACGGCAACCUCAAGUCCGGCAACGUCCUCCUCUCGCCGGACUUCGAGCCCCUCCUCGUCGACUACGGCUUCCUCCCCCUCGUCAACCCCUCCCUCGCCUCCGCCGCCAUGUUCGCCUACCGCUCCCCGGAGUCCCUCGGCCACCACCACGUCUCCGCCAAGUCCGACGUCUACUGCCUCGGCAUCCUCCUCCUCGAGCUGCUCACCGGCAAAUUCCCCUCGCAGUACCUGCACAACGCGAAAGGCGGGACCGACCUCGUCCUCUGGGCCACCACCGUCGCUGCGGAGGAUCGGGAGGAGGAGCUGCUGGACCCGGCCAUCGUGACGGCGGCGAUGAAGGCGGCGGUGCCCGACAUGAAGCGGCUGCUGCGCGUCGGCAUCGACUGCAUCGAGCCGGAGCCCGAUAGGCGGCCCGACAUGAAGGAGGCGGCGGCGAGGAUCGAGGAGGUGGCGGCUGCCGUCGAGGCGCUCAAGGCGGCCAGGGUGGCGCCGGCGAAGGACGGGCUGCAGCCGGCAUCGGCGCCGGCCUCCCAUGCGGCGUACGUGAGGGACGGGCUCGGGGAGCGGUCGGCCCGCCGGGGAGGGAGCAUCGGCGAGCGGUCGGCCCGCCGGGGAGGGAGCAUCGGCGAGCGGUCGGCUCGCCGGAGCGAUGAUAACUUCUCGUUCGCCAUCUCAUGAUGGCGAUCACUGCGCCAACGACACCGGGCUAUAGUGGGCAAAUCGAUCAUACAGUACGGUACGUAUCUCUCGACAAAUCGUGUGAACUUUAGCUAGUUUGUAAAUAGACGUGUGAACUUAUAAUUUUGCGGUUUCCAAGUUCCAACAGCAUGCUUUGCCCCCUUAAGAUUUGUUCGGAUAUAAAUAAGAACCGUCUAUUUUCGAAAUAGAUAUAAAUUCAUAUAAAAGUAAGAAUUAAAUCGAUUUUAAGUUUGAAUAAAAAUUAGAUUAUUUUUGAAAAUAGAAAAAAUAAUAUUUGUAUAGAUAGAUAAGAUAGAAAAAGAAUGAUAGUUGGUGGUAAUAAAUAAAAAAUGAUAAUAUUACCCACUCAUUAUAUUUGAAUUUGAAUUUUUAAUUUCAUAUUUAUAUUUUUAAAUUUAAAAUUUUAAUUUUAAAAUUUUAAAUUUAAAAUUUAUAAUUUAAAUUUUAAAAUUUGAAAUCUCAAAAAUUUAAAUUCAAAAUUAUAAAUUUUAAAUUUCAAACUUUAAAUUUAAGAUCAAAUUUAAAUUUAAAAAAUAUAAACUAUCAAAUUUUAAAUUUUAAAUUUUAAAAUUUUAAAAUAAGAAUAGGAAUGGGGACAAUUAAUAAAAAUAAUUUAUUAUAAUAAAUUUAUAAAUUUGAUAAAAAUAAAUUUUUUAAUAAAUUUAUAAAUUUUUUAAAAAUUCUACUUAAACUUAAACUUAAUAAAAGUAAUUUAUUAUAAUAUUUAAAUAUAAAUAAUAUGUAUUAAUAUAGUACAAUUAAGAAUUUUAUAAUAAAAAUAAUAUAUUAUAUUUAUAUAAUUUAAUUUUAAUUCAAUUUAUAAUUUUAAUAAAGUUUGAAACUAUAAAUUGGAAUAGCACUAUUACACCAAAAUGGUGGAAUAGUAAAUCCCAAACUAUUUCGAGAUAGUCGGGAAUAGCGAGAUUUGACCAGAAUAAAAUAUUUCAAUUAUAAAUCAUCUUGUUUGGCAGAAUAGCGGGAGCUGAACCAAAUGGGGCCUUAAAAAAGUUUUUACCUUUGUUACACCGAAUCGGGCCAAUGAUUGUAGCCCAAAAUUGGAGCCCAAAAAUGUGAGAUCCUACUUCAAGUACAAUUAAAUUUUGAUGAUCGGUAUCUGAGAUUCUAAAUUCGAACUUUUAAGCGAUUUGUAAUUUUUAAUCAAUUAUGAGCUAAUACUCAUAACUAGGAUAAGCUUACGUCAAAAUUUAAUACUUUCAAGCAAACUCUUUGGAGAAAUUUAUUAAAAAUAAAAGGAAUGUAAAGUUAAGUAGUCAUUAAUCAAAAUUUUUGAAGUUUGGAUAUUCAUUUCAAAAUACGCUAUAUGAUUUGGACGAAAAAUAACUAGACUUUUUUUUUUUUUUUAACUUUAGAUUUUUUUAUUUCUCUUUGUAGGCCUGUGAUAAUACAAAGUAGAGAGAAACACUGGACAUGGAGAGGAGGAACAAUAGAUAAUUAAGCAGCAGUAAAUAUGCAUGGAGGUCCACAACUAUAUUCAAUUGUGAAAUUACCCCCUCAACUUUAAUUUUUUUUUCUUAUCGAAUCCUUCUUGAGUUUUGAUUUUUCUUUUCAGAAUUAAAGGAUUUUAGAGAAAGAAACUUGGGUAUUUUUCAAAUGCAAUGAUGAUUUUGUCAAAUUUAAUAGCUUUAAAUUUCUAUUUAACAAAGUCAUUAUAUUUGAUAAAACUCGAAUGGAAAAAAUUAGAAGUUGAGAAAGUUUCAAUUAAAAGAAAAAAAAAGGGGUGUAUUUCAAAAUCGCGUAAAGUUGAGGGGCUCUUCAUAACUUGCAUACCGAGGAGACGUGGUAGGGGCUCUUUUAUUGCUUUGUUACAAUUUAUUUACUACGCGAAAAGCCAAAAAAUGGGCUUCUAUUGAAGUUAUGAGAUGAGAUGUUAUAAACUUUAAACAUUUAGUGAUUUUCUUUUUUCCCUUUUGUUUAAAAAUUAUGUAUAUGAUAAGCAAGAAACUGUGAUUUUAGAUCUUCUCAUGUUUGGUUAUUGAAUUGAUGAUGAGGAUUGUGAGUUUCCUCUGCAUGCUUGGUCGAUUAAUUAAUGUGUUUCAUUUCACUUUUUUGGUGUGUUUUUCUUAAUUUUAUGGUGAAAUUUUGAUUAGUUAAGUAAUGCGUGCCCCGACUAAACAAUAAUAUUUAGAAAGUCUUUCUUUGUCAUUUCAAUAUGAUUGAGAGCUAGUUUUGUACACAUGACAAUUAAAUUUCGAUAAGUUGAUAUUCAAAUGUAUCAAAUCAUAACCGUAAUUUUGAAUUCUUAUAAAUACUCUCUCCAACUAUUGCCAAUUAGAACUGAUCAUAUUUAAUGUUUUAGAAAUCAAGUCGAAAUCGGGUUGACACCGACGGAAUGUUAUUGAGUCCAGGGCAUUAGUCAAACCAAUAAUUAAACACUCACAUCACAUAAAUCAUAAAUAUUUAAUUUAUUAUUUUAAUUUUAUUAAUAUAUAUAUAUAUAUUAUAUAAUAUAUUAUUAUAAUAUAUAUAUUUAUAUAUAUAUAUAUAUAUAUAUUAUGAAUCUACCUAUUAUCCUUUUAAAAGGACAGAGACCUUCGUUUUAUCAAGUCGUUUUUGAUAAUAGAAAUUCUGAAUUGAUGAUUGAAAUAGUUAAAGUCGAUCUAGAGUAUAGAAGUGUCUAAAAACUAAAUUACAUAAUUUUUAGCAAUUAUUUACAUAACGAUCAAAGAUUUGUAAAAUCGAUAGUUCCCAUAUAAGCCGUUUGCUGGUUUGACGGUAUUGAGCAAUCCAAACCGCUUGAAUUUUAGAUAAAAAAUAUUUUAUACUAUUUGAAUAACGUUUGAUAACUCCGAUCAUAAACUGAGAAAGUCUAAUCUCUAUUUUCAGAAGAUUAUUCGUUUUUGAUUGAUCAUUCAUUUUUUGAUUCUUUCAAUAAACUUGAUAAUGAUUUUUAAAACUUAUAAAAUUUUGUUUCUGAAUAUUUUUAAUAGUGUAGAUCAAUUUCAACGGUGCCGAUUAUCAAUUUGGAGCUUCGAUCAUCCAAAAUGACUUGAUCAGAUAAAGACUUAUAUUUUCUUAUAUUCUCUUAAGAUGAUAGUAGCUGUACUCCAUAUAUUAUUAUUCAAGUACAAUACUUAAUUCUAAAAUACUGAUUUUAAGAUCAAACCGAGUAUAUUGAAGUUAUUUAGGUUUUACUUUUUAUAAGAUUUAUUUGUGCUAAUAGAAAAUAAAAUCAGCUAAGUUAAUUUUAAGUCGUCGAAUUUAAACAUGACUGUUUUUUUGGUUCAGAGCAGUUUUAUAACUUACCCAGUUCAAAGGAUUGAAGUGAACCGCUAUGCAGACUAAAUCACGGCUAAGCCGGUCAAGCAGACCAGUUCGACCUGAUUUUUAAACCAUUAUCAGUUUAAAAACAGAUUCAGCUACAACAGUUGAGCCUCCUUAUAUUGUUAAAGCUACAAUAACUAAGUUCAAGCGCAUCAGAUGAAACACGUGUUUUGAUUUAUGGUACAGUUAUAAUUAUAUACAACCAAACACUGACUACCAAAGUCAACCAAUUUUUCCUUGCAGCGAUCCACGUCAGCGAAAGCUGACAUUUGCCUUUGACUAAAGCACAAAGGAAUCCAAAAUUUGUGGGUGAAUAAUAAUAUCGCAACGGCUAUUUUAAAGUGACCAAUUAAUCCACACUAUUCAUGAUAAGCUUGCAUGCUUGACAAGUACCUAUUAAAAAUUAUUAUUACGGUAGUGUUACUAUUUAAAAAAAGGGAUAAUUCCCUAUAUAUCCUUGAUAUGUUUAAAAAUAUCUGAUUUAUUCAUUUUUUUUUCUUUUUAAAAUAACUCUUGUAUGUUCCACCGUUACUGAAAAAUACCCCCACAGCUAUUUUCUGUUAAGUUAAUUUCGAUUAAACGUGAGUUAAAUAUCUACCACAGUUAAAAAAAAUUAAAAUACUAAUUUUGCCUUUAACUUCAGGGCAAAUAAGUAAUGUUGGUGACGGUAGAGAAGUAUAUUGGAAAAGACCAAAAAUCAAAAUUCUUUUUGUGCCCCUGACAUUAAGGGCAAAUAAGAAAGUCAGUGAUAGUGGAAGAAUAUAUUUGAAAGGGUAAAAUAAUAAUUUUAUAGAGAUAACAGAAUUCAUUAAUAGAUUUUAAUUCUAGGGGUAUAUUAGAAAUAGGUUGGAACGUAGAAAGGGUAUUUUCAAUAUUAGUCUUCUAAGAGGGGUAAAUCGGAAAGUCAGAAACUUUUCAGGAGUAUAUAAGUAAUUGCCCCUUUAAAGAAUGGGACUUUCUGAUUUAUCCUUCUUAGAAGACUAUUAAAAAUAUCUUUUGUACAUUCCACCAUAUUUCAAAUAUAUCUCUGAAGUUAAAUUCUAUUAAUAAACGGUUAGCAAUAACUGUUAUUUUUAUGAAAUUACUAUUUUGCCCUUUUAAAUAUAUCCUUCUUCACUAACAUAUUUUAUUUACCUUUAAAAUAAAGAUAAAAAAGGUAUUUUGAUUUUUUUCAAAUUUAGUAGAUGUUUAACUCACAUUUAAUCUAAGUUAACUUAACGGAUGAUAACUGUAUGAAUAUUUUGAAAUAACAUAGGUACAUAUAAAAAAUAUAUUGGAAAGAAAAAAAUAAAAAAGAAGAAGAGCCUCCUAAUAAAGAGACGAUCUAAUAAUCGUUUAUUUAUGCAAUAUAUAAAAGAGCGAAUAAAAUUUUUGAGCCUGUAAAUUUUCUUUUGAAAAUAUCUCUUUCUUUAGAUAUUUAUUUAUAUUUAAAUAUUUUUCUAAAUUUUUUGAAUUUAAAUUAAUCAACUAUAACUUUUACUAAUUUUUUGCUAAAUUAGAUAAAUUAAUCAGCUAUAAUCAACUAUAAGUAAUAUUAUUUUAUAUUUUAAUUUUUUCUACAAUGUCUAAUCAUCAAGUAGUGAUGAACCAUUCAUGCAGAGUCUCUUCUUUUAAAAUACCUACCAACUUGGGCCACUUCAAAGGAAAGGAGUGACCUUUUUUUUUUUUUUUUUUUUUUUUUUUUUUUUUUUUUUUUUUUUUUUUUUAAAGCAGGGUGUUGGAACCAUAGUUAAUUCAGAUUCUGCAAAAAUUCGAUACGGGUAUAAUAUGUAGAAAAUUUAUUUUUCAAUUUUUAAAUUUAUUGAAAAUUUUGGUUUCAAAAAUAGAUUCGGUAUAAAAUAUAAAAUAUAAAAUAUAAGAUAAUCUAUAUUUAAAUAUAAAAAUUAUAAAUUUGUUAUUUAGAUUUUCAAUAAUUCUAAAAUAAUUCGCAAGUAAUUCGAUAAUUAUUUAGCUGUUCCAAAAAUUUGCGAAUAAUUUUAUUUCUUUGAAAAAAAUUCAUAAAUGGACCGUUUAAUUCAGAUUUUCAAUAAUUAGUGAAUAAUUCUCGAAUUAACUAACAAAGGUUGGAACUCCCAACACCUUAAAGCGCCCCCUACAUAAAAUAAUGGUUUUUUUUUUAUAAAAGGUUAAAUAAUGAGACAACAAUUUAUUAGUUUAAUUCAGGUUAAAAUUUACAAAGAUCCACUCAUUUAUACGCCACUUUAUUUUUUUUUAAUUGAGACAUUCUCACUUUCCAUGUAGUUGGAUUUGAGUUACUUUUCUAAAUUGAGUUGAUAAUUUAUCAAAAUUAAUAACUCUGUUAGCUAUCACUGAGAAAAAAAACUAUAGUUUUCUAAGCUAAAAAAUAGUUCAAAUUUUAGAAAAAUAUGUAAAAUCGACAUUAAAUUUAAUAAAAACUUUAAAUUUAUGUAACAAGGAAUCUUAGGUUAAAAAGGAUCAUUGAGGAAGAGAUAUACAAAAAAGAAAAUUUCAAGGGGUCGUUUUCAUGCACAUUUUCACCUAUAAUUUGUAUACAAUUUAAGCAUUGUUUGACCAAUUAAUUAAUUAAUAUUAAAACCCUCCAAUCUAAUAAAUUUUCUAGCACAUGUUUUGACUCUGUAGAUUUCACGGCUGCUACCUAAAACUGUCCUUUCCAUGAAAAUUUGCAUAGAAGUCCCUCAACUAAGGACAAAUUGAUAUAUCCAUUGUGCAAAUUACAAAGAAAUUAAUUAUAAGAGAAAUUAAUUAUAAGAGUCUUGUAUCAACUUCCAAAGCUUUUAUUUUGAGUUAAGAGUGAAACUAGCCAAAAUUUUACUUCAAUUUGUGUAUAAAUAAUUGUAGCUUGUGAGUGGUAUUUGAUUUUUAAAUGUUUAUAUCUAUUUAAUAAGCAUUGUGUGUCCGUGUCAGAGACCCAAGUGUCUACGUUGGACUCGUGUCCUACGCGGACAUGUCAUGAACGCGCGUUCGAUGCAGGUCCAUAGCGUAUCUCAUUAAAAAUAUAUAUAUUUUUAUUUUACUAUCUUUGAUGCGUAUAUAAUAUAAAAUAAUAAAUAUUUUAAUUUUUUGAUGAAUACAUAUAAUUUUUUUAGAUAAUAUAAAUAAAUUAUGUAUGGUGAAUUUUUUUAAAAUAUUUGAAUUAUCAAUGAGAAUUUUACUUACGUUCAUUCGUAUGAAAAAUAUACCAAUAUUUUAGCAAACAUAAUACUUUAUAUAUAAUAAAUAUAUACUAUUAUAUUAAUAUUAGCGAUGCACAUACUGGGCGUGUUUGGUUCGAAGUCGGAAUCAGAAUCGGAAUCGGAAUCGAAAUCGAAAUAAGCUGGAAUCGGAAUUGGAAUGACUUAUUACCUAAUUCUGUUUGGUUCAUCACCUGAAUCGGAAUCGGAAUAAAUCAUUUUCAUUGUCGGUGUUUGUUUCAGAUAAAUAUAAAAAACGUAAUCAGAUUAAUAUAUUAACUUUAUCUUUAUAAUAUAUUAAUUUAAAUUUAAAUUAAAAAUUAAAUAUUAAAAUUUUACAUCAAAAUUUUGAAAUGAUGUCAAAAUUUUAAAUCUAUUUUUUAAAAAAAAUUAAACUUUGAAGAGAGUGGAUAAUUCGAAAUAUAAAACUAAAUUUCGAUUUAUUCAUAUUCAAACUUAAAAUUACAAUUUAAAUUUUAAUUUGAAUCCAUAAAUUUAAUUUAAGUUUUAAAUAAAAUUUGAAUAAAACUUUAUAUAAAUUUAAAUUUAAAAUUCAUAAGUUAGAUUCGAAAUACUUGAUUAAAUUUUAAUUUUUAAUUCAAGUUCAAAUUAAAAUUUAAAAUUUAAAAUUAAAUUUCUAAAUUUAAACUCAUAUUUUAAUUAAAAAAAUUAAAAAAAUAAAUUUAAUCCGAAUAAAUAUCCAUUCCGUCCGGAUUCAACUUUCAAUCCGGCUUUCUAGGCCGGAUUGAAAAAAGGGGUGAUUGGGGAAAUUCUCAUUGCACUCGGGAAUCGGAAUUGGAAUGGAACUUCCGCAUACCAAACACACACAAAUGGAUUAAUCCAUUCCGAUUCCAAUUUUAGAGUGAAAAAGAAGCGGACCAAACACGCCCACUGUGUCUGUAUUCUAAUUUUUCUAAAACAGUUAAGUCUGAAUCGUGUCGUGUCCCGUGCUCUGUAUCUGUAUCGUGACGCCUAGAUUUAUAUUUGUUUUUUGUUUUGUUUUAAAUACCUAGACAAAUUUAGUAGUGUAUUCAAGUCAUCUGACAUUCAUACAUAUACAAAAUAAGUAACUAAAAUUUAAAGCUUGGUGGCUGAUUGAAGUGAAUUGAAGAUAAAAUUGAAGCCAGUAGAAUUUUAGUUAAAUUAGAAUAAAUAUUUAAAUUUAUCAAAAAUAAAUUUAUUAGAUAAAUUUAAAUUAUUAAUUAGAAUAGAAAUUCAAUUGAGCUGCGGUUGGGUCACGUUUAGUUAAGCUUUAUAUAUGUGGCAUCUUGGUAGACUAAUUAGUGUUGAAGCCUGGCUGGCAUAGUACGGCAAAGUAGAAUGCUCGAGUGCUGAAAGCUUCAGAGAAGGUGCGGCCUCAUUGUGAAGCUUCAGAGAAGGUGCAGAAAGCCUGGUUGCAUGUUGGCUUAAAUAGAUCAGUAUCUUACUUCUAGCACAAGAUAAGAUUUGAUUGCGUCAUAUUCGAUAUGGCGUGAGGUCGAGUUGGGCCGAGUCAUAUUCGAAGUGGUGUGAGGCUGGUAGGAUUUAGUCGCAAUCCAGAUCCACAUGCGUUAUGUCUGUACACUUUAAGUGAAUUAGUUGUAUCUUUCUAAUAGCUCGAACUUUUAGGAUUAAUGGUUAGCGCCAACAAUCCGACAGUGCACCACAAGAGCGAAAAGAGAAGAGAAAGAUGGAAGAGAUUCAGAAAGAAAGUUCGAGUUGAGACUGUGUCGUUCUUUGUUGAGGCGACAAAUUUAUGAUAAAAUUUAAUUUGAUGUUUCCGUUAUCAGUACCGAAUUACAGUAACCGAUAUCAGAGUAGGUUACGAAUUCUCCUCUCAAGAUCCUAUAUCAUAUAGCAAGUACCAGACGGACCAGACAUGAACAGCUUAGGGGUUUGAUGACCGCACGUAAAAUCAAAAACCGGAUGCGCGGAGUCUCUGGAGCCGUACAAAUUGUGAUCACUAGUCCACGAAAACAAACCAAGCCCAGCCAAUGUUUAAAGAAUCUUUUUUAUUUGCUUUUUUUUUUUUGGAAAAACUUCAAAUAUCUCUAUGUGGUUUCGCAUUUUCUCACUUUAGUAUCCUGUGGUUUAAAAUAUACCAAGUUAAUACUCUGUGGUUUCGCACAUUCUCACUUUAGUACUCUGUGGUUUCAAGUUUAUCAAGGUAGUACAUGUGGUUUUAUUUUUGUAUCAAGUUAGUACUAUGUGGUUUUAAUUUUCUCUUUUUAUUAUUCAUUUUGAGGUAUAUAAUUUAACAAAAUAUUAAACCACAGGGUACUAAAGUGAGAAAGUGCGAAACCACAGGGUAUUAACUUAAUACACUUGAAAUCACAGGGUAUUAAAGUGAGAAAGUGCGAAACCACAUAGUACUAACUGGAUACAUUUUAAACCACAGGGUACUAAAGUGAAAAAAUACGAAACCACAGGACGGGUAUUUGAAGUUUCCCCUUUAAUUUAAGUCAGUUAAUAACACUUUCAAUUUAAAAUUUAAAUUAAUUUUUUAGUUUAAUAAAUUUAUAAUUAUGAGAGUUGCAUGAAAUAUAUUAAUUAAACUUAUAAAGAAAAACAGCGCAUUUGGAUUUUAAAGUUAAAGUAUUAUUGAUUAACUUGAAUCAAACAAAGUAGAAAAGAUGGCUAGUAAGAUCAAAUUUUGAAAAUUUGGUUGGUUAAUCGAUUCAAAAUAGUUUAUAAUUCAGAUAAAUUUCAUGUGUUUUUACCUAAAUAUUUUUUUUUUUAUAAAGAUAAGAAAUUUAGUGUAAUAGAAAGUCACAAUAUUUCUUUUGUAGCGACCUAGCGCAGAAUAUUUUCUCUCUCCGAGUGAAAAAAAAAGAGAGAAAAAAANAAACCACAGGGUAUUAACUUAAUACACUUGAAAUCACAGGGUAUUAAAGUGAGAAAGUGCGAAACCACAUAGUACUAACUGGAUACAUUUUAAACCAUAGGGUCCCCCCCCCCUUUUUUUUUUUUGAGAAAGAUAGUUAACACGUUAUCCGCUUCGUUUAUUUCAUUUAGAAAUAAACUUAGCUGAAAAUAUGAAUCAACUAGAAUUCAAACUUGGGAUCUCGAGUACCAAUCAUCAAGCCUUUUAUCACUUACUCUAGCGACGGUCGGUAAUGUUUAAAAAAUCUUAGGAUAACAAAUAUUGGGAUAAAUUUUUUUAUUCUGGAAUAGCUUUUCAUUUUGGAAUAGUUAGGAAUAAAAGUGAAAUUAUGUUCGGUUUGUGAUGUUAGUAUUUAUAGACAUAAUUAAAAUUAUGUUUAGUUAAUUUUAUGGAAUAGUAGAGAAUAGUAGAAAAAAAUUAUAAUUUGAAUUUGGUAUAAAAUAUAAUUUAAUAAAAAUAAUUUCUUAUAAAAUAAUUAUUGUAAAAAUAAUUUAUAAAAAUAAUUCAUUACAAUAUUUGAUAAAAAUAAUUUAUUAAUAAAUUAUGAUUUAAUAAAAAUAAUUUAUUUUAUAUAUAAUUUUUUUAAAAAUUCACUUAAACUUAAGUUUGAUAAAAAUAAUUUAUUAUAACAUUUAAAUAUAAUUCAUUAUAAAAUUUAUUACAAUAUUUAAAUAUAAAUAAUAUGUAUUAAAAUAGUACAAUUAAUAAUUUUAUAAUAAAAAUAAUAUAUUAUAAUAUAUAAUAUAUAACAUAUUAUAUCCAUAUAAUUUAAUUUUAAUUCAAUUUUAUAAUUUUAAUAAAGUAUGAAAUUAAAUAUUGAAAUAGCAUUAUUCCGUCAAAACGAUAGAAUAGUAAAUUUCAAGCUAUUCCGGAAUAACUAAAAAUAGCAAAAUUUGACCGGAAUAAAAUAUUUCCAUAAAAAAGUAUUCUAUUUAGCAGAAUAGCGAGAAUAUAUAUAUAUAUAUAUAUAUAUAUAUUUGAGAGAUAGGUAACACACUACCUGCUUUGUUUAUUUUAUUUAAAAAUAAAUUUAGCUGGAAAUAUAAAUUAACUAGGAUUCGAAUUUGGAUCUCGGGUAUCAACUAUUAAAUCUUUUGCCACUUGCUCUAAGGACGAUCGGCAAAUAUAAUAUUGGCCCAUGCGGGAAUAAUUUUUAUUAUUCCGGCUUUAUUCGUGAAUCAAACGGAAUCUUAGAAUAUUUCUUUUUCUAUGUAAUAAUAAUAAAAAAUGAAAUAAAUUUUUUUUUUAAAAAAAUUUGGGUCUAGUUGCUGGUAAAGGUUGAAAUGUGAGUCACAUUGUGUAUGGAAAAAGGGAUGAUCAAGGACCAUUCACUAAUCAACACAUCACAAGUGGCAAACCCACUUGAUGUGAUGUGCCAUGUAAACAUCACAGUGGGCUGUAUCAAAUUGACUACAAAAAUAGGAGGCCAUGUGCUUCAUAUGGUUAAAGGAGCCUAUUCUUAUUCUCAUAUCUCUCUCUCUCUCUCUCUCUCUCUCUCUCUCUCUCUCUCCACCUAUUCCCUUCAUUAUUUCCUUAUUUUACUUCUAACACACAACAAACAUGUGCUCCAAUUCUCCAUCCUUAUCAUCUUCUCCCCCCCACUUUGCCCAACUUAAUAAAGAACCAACUAGCUUUCACUAUAUAAGAAAACAAGAGGCUAAGGUAGGGAAAGAACACAAAGUCUCAAAAAACAACUUAGAAAAAGAGAGAGAGGGAGAAGGAGAUGGAGAGGGAAAAAACCAACUUCUCUAUAACUUGUAGCCUCUUAAGCAAGUUUAUGAAGGAAAAAGGAAGCAUUAUUGGUGGGUUGGGGCUUGAGAUUAUGGGCCCUAAACCUCUUCAACAACAAGCUAAUAAUGGUGAGAUAUGUUCCAUAUAUGUUUUGGGUUCUCUACUUAGUUUUUUUUUUUUUUUUUUUUUUUUUUUUUUGGGGGGGGUUGAUCAAACAAAGAUGAUAAAUGGGUUUUUGUUAAUUCUAAUCUAUUUUUCAGUGAUAAAUAUACCUGCUAAUAUAUUUUCAGCAUUUUUCUUUUUCCUUUUUAGAAGAUGCUAAUACAAAAUUAACAGAAAAUGAACAAUUAUGCUUUGUUUGAAAAUAAUGAAUAUUUAUUUUUUAUUCUACACGUAUAAUUUUACAUAUUUCUCCACUCAAAAAAUAAUUCAAAACAUAUGAAGUAAUUUUUUUUCUUUUUCUUUUCUUUUUUUUUUUUUAGGAAUAGAUUCUCAGCUUGCUACCAUGAACUUAUUAGAUGGAGUUAAUGCAUCAGUAGAAGAACAUAUCAAAAAUGCUGGUGAACAACAUGAAAGUGCCGAGAAUCCGCAUUUUAAGUGAGCUUUUUAUUCUUGUAAUUGUAUACAUCAUAAAAUUUGUGCAAGCAAUUAGAAAACCAAAUGUACUGAUUCUAAUUUUGGUGGUGAAUUAUAUAUAGUGGUUCAGAGAAAGCGCAGCUGACGAUAUUUUACGGCGGAGAAGUGCUGGUUUUCGACGAUUUUUCCGCCGGUAAGGUCGAGGAAUUGAUGCGAAUGGCGAAGGAGACGUCGUCGUCGGUGCAAAAUUUCCGCAUCGCGGUUCCUCAAUUCGCCGCUUCUCCAACUGAUCAUAAACUCAAAUCCAGCUCCCAAAAUACUGCUGUGCCUAGGCCUGCUCAAGCCAUUGCUUCUGGUGAUCAUUCUUUUCUCUCUCUUUCUUUCUUAAUUUUUCUCUUCUCUUCUCUGCAUCCAAACCGAGCAUAAGUAAACAAUUAUUAUUAAAUAUAAAAAUAUAUAAACAUCGUUUUCUACUUGCUUAAGUUUUUAGAGUACAACGAUUGUUUUACAUGGUAUCAGAUCUAGCAGAAGGUCUUAAAGUUCGAACCACGCCAAGCUCCUAACAUUAUUAAUUCCUUUCAUUUAAUUCAAGUUUAUGUCAUGGGCUUGUAAAAAAUUUCGAGUUCAGAUAUGAAGGGAGUGUUAAAUAUAAAAAUAUAUAAAUACUGUUUUUUAACUAGUUAAGUUUACUUUAUAGUAGUUAGAUCUGAUCUUUGCUGAUCACAAUGGUACAUAAAGUUCUUUUAAGAACCAUAUUAAAAUUUUCACAAUGCUCCUGAAAAUUUUUUUUGUUAAUUGUUACUUACAAUAGUAUUUACUCUUGUCGAAAACAGAUAUACCUCUGGUAAGAAGAAAUUCGCUGCAUCGAUUCCUCGCGAAAAGGAGGGAAAGGUGAGAGCAUUUGAUCCCUCCACACUUGCUUCAAUCACCAUGGAAAAUCACAUAAAAUUAGAAGUAACAAUUAUUAUUAAUUUUUUUUCUCUUAACAUUUUUGUAGGAUUAACACCAAGGCGCCUUACCAACUAAAUUACUCUUUGGAGGCCAAGAACGCGGCUAAGACGGAGGAUAAUAAUAAGUCGUGGCUCGGCUUAGGUUCAGGAGUCAUUGGAUCCGAACAUGAGCUUCGUUUGUAGAAGAUCGGAGUGAUGGAUCAAACAUUUUACGAAGUAUGUUAAGCAUAUAUAGUGGCCUCUUUGUUUAAACACAAUGUUGUUUCUUUUUUGCCUCCCCAAAUGAGGUUUGAGAUGUAAAUUUGUAUUUUAGCAAAGAGGUGGAUUAAUUCAAAGAAUAUAUAUGAUAUGUUUGAUUUGAAAAUGAUUCAUCUUAUCUUAUAGAUAGUUGUUUAGCGAUAUUUUUAUUUUUAUUUUAUUGUAUUAGCUAAUUAAAUUUGGUUGCUAUGAUGAACAAUUGGAUGAAAAAAGGCAAGAAAUGUGCUUUUGCUACAAUGUGAAUUAGUAAUAAGUUUGACAUUUGAAUCCUUCUGAUACCCACAAGCAAGGAUUUAAGUACCUAUCGGUACGAACUGUAUCUAUUAUAUCGUAUCAGACCAAUAAGAUACUGGCAUAAUACAGUCUCUGUACCAAUAACACAGUUCAAAAUUUUUUUUAUUUUAAAUUAAUAAGUAAUUUUUUUAAUAAAGUUCAAAAUAUUUGAUAAAAAUAUAUAAUAAUUAACUAGAAAAUUUUAUUACUAAAGAAAAUAAUUUUUUCAUACUAUUAUGUGUCAGCACAUAUGUACUUUUUGUAACCGGCACGCGUCGAUACCGUUUAGCACGCACUGUGCCAGCAAAUUUACGGCACGAUCCUGUAUUACGACACUUAAAUUCUUAUUUAACACAAAAAAAAUAUAAUACUUAAAUAUCCCAAAAUUUUGAAAAAAAAAUUUCAGCAGCUGAAAAAUAAAUUAUAUGUCAAUUUCCUUUCAUGUAGAAUAACUUUUCCCAUUAUAGAGUUCAUUAUGCAUCUAGAAUCUCAGCUAAUUAUAAAUUUUUGAGUAUCGGAGUAUGUAGUGUACAAAGAAAGGUUAUUUCGUUGUCCAUUGGUUGGUCAGGUUGGUGUAGGAAUAAAAAUUAAAUUUUACUUUGGGUAGACUGGUUGUUAACUGUUUGCUUUAUUGGGAAUAACAUUUGAUGUAUGAGGGCUAUGAGGUAAAAAAGUAUAUAUAAUAAUAUAUAUAUAAAAUAGGGGGGGGGGGGGGGUGGGGGGGGAUAACACCAGCUAAAAAAUUUCUAUAGUCAGUGUGGGCUCUCUUUUGAGAAAAGGGUGGCUAUAAACAAAGAAUUAAUAAAUAUCCAAAAAUAGAAAGAAAAUAAUUACUAAAAGAAAAAAAGAAUAAGACUAUUAUAUUGACAAGAAACAUUUAUAACAAUUUUUCUCACAUAUCAGCCCUUUAAAAAUUAUAUUUGACAAAUAAUUCUUUUUAAAUUAUUUUUCACUAAAAUUUCUAUUUUUCUAAUUUCAGUAUUAGUUGAAAGAGUCGAAGGUGAUGGUUGAAUAACUAUUACGAUUAUCAUUUUUUACUUUAGAAAGAAAACAAUGAAUGAUUUACUCUUUCUUUCUUGUAUUCUCUACUUUUUUUAGUUAAUUCGCGAAUUAUUUGCGAAUUAUUGAAAAUCCGAAUUAAAUAGUCCGUUUAUGAAUUUUUUCUAAAGAAAAUAAAUUAUUCGCGAAUUUUUAGGCCAGCUGAAUAAUUCGCAAAUUAUUUCCGAAUUAUUGAAAAUCUGGAUAAAAAACUUAUAAAUUUUAUAUUUAAAUAUAGAUUAUCUUAUAUUUUAUAUUUUAUACCGAAUCCGUUUUUUAAGCCGAAUUUUUUAAUGAAUUUAAAAAUUAGAAAACGAAUUUCAUGCGUAUUAUAUCCGUACCGAAUUUUUGCCGAAUUCGAAUUAACUAUGUUCUCUACAAUCAUAAAAAAAUUUCAACAACCAAUAUAUAAUCCAAACAUACUCACAAACAUUCUAACAAGCCGCAAUACAAUCGACCGUCCGUAGAGCAAGUGGCAAAGGGCUUGGUGGUUGGUACCCGAGGCCCAAGUUCGAAUCCUAGUUGAUUCACAUUUCCAGUUAAGUUUAUUUCUAAAUAAAAUAAACGAAGCGGGUAACGUGCUACCUAUCUCUCUCUCAAAAAAAAAAAAACAAGCCACAAUACAAUCAUAACAAUCUAAUAAAAAUCCGAUCAACCCACAUAUAAUUCUAACAAUUCCAUAAUUUUUACAAACGAUAUUAACAAUCUAAUGUUUUCUAAAGAUGGUGAAUAAUUCACCGUUUUUAAAAUUUUAUUAAACACUGUGAAUGAUUCAAUGUAUUUUCGUUCUCCUUCCAUCAUGGAGCUAAGUUGGAGAAAAUAAGAUUGGAUAGCUGUUAGAUGUGACGCGAAAUUGAUAAUCGACUUUAGUUCGGGAUUUCGACUCGCCGACAGUUUUGCAGUGCGACUAAAUUGGAAAAUAAAAUUGUGAAACAAAAAUGAAUGUCUGUUGUGGGUAGCAGAGGGCUCGGGCUCCACAGUAUGGAUCGGAUCCAAAACCCAUUAAGAAUUUUCUUGUCAUUUUUGCCCUAGAGGCGAUAGUUUGAAGUUGGUUGUACUCACUGAACAUUAUAUUUUCUUUUUCGUUCGAUAGUGAAGUUCUCUCCUCUCUCGCCCGUAAUUUUUUCCUACAAAAGAUUUUUAGCAUAAAUCUGUGUUUUCUUUUUUAUUUCUACUUGUGGUUUGUUUAUUUUGUGUUUGCUAUUUUGUUUCCAUUUGUGCGCUUAUCGUAACAAUAGCCAAUUAAAAUUUUGAUAGGAUUAUUUGACAAAUUGUAAAUUUUUAGGAGUCAGUUUAAAAAAAGUCUCAUUUAUACACACAUGUUAAUUAUACUAUGGAGCGUACAUCCAAUUUUUAGACCUUGGGAUCCAUACCAAAAUAAAUAUCAAAUAGUAAACUCUAGUGAUUCAUGGCCAAAAAGUUUGAAAUUUCAUACUUUAAAAAGUAUCUAUAUAGAGAGUAUUAAUCUUAUACAUUAGUCGUCCAAGACUAAUACUUACUAUUUUUAUCAAUUUUUUUAAUACUAAAAAUUUGAUAUAAAAUUUUAGAAUUUUAAAUUGGUGGGCAUAAUAUUUACAUCUUAUAUGUACGGUGUGCAUAUAGAAUUUUGGGGCAAUUACUUAUAUAUGACUUUCUGAUUUAUCUCUCUUACAAGGCUAAUAUUGAAAAUACUCUUUUUACGUUCCAACCUAUUUCUAAUAUACCCCUAGAGUUAAAAUCUGUUAAUGAAUUCUGUUAUCUCUAUAAAAUUACUAUUUUGCCCUUUCAAAUAUACUCUUAUACUAUCAUCGACUUUUCUUAUUUGCCUUUUAGGCUUCGUUUGGGGGACUUUUCUUAUUUGCCCUUUAGGCUUCGUUUGGGAUUGCAGGGAGAUUACGUUACGUGCGGUGAGAAAGUACGUUGGAAAAAUACCCUGUUUGUUUCCGUACGCAAUAUUGCGUUCCGCAUAUUGCGAUGAGUCGGUUACGAUAUAUUUUCUGCGGUCCCACCGAAGAACUCAUAAGCAUAUCCUUAUAUGCUUUUUCUUCAACUCCACUUUAUCUAAUAGCGUUAGAUAUACCUCGAUACCAAACUAAGGCUUAGUUUGGGAUUGCGGGGAGAUUGUGUUACGUGCGGUGAGAAAGUACGUUCGAAAAAUACCUGUUUGUUUCCGUACGCAAUAUUGCGUUCCGCAUAUCGCGAUGAGUUGGUUACGAUAUAUUUUCUGCGGUUCCACCAGAGAACGCAUAAGUAUGCUUUUUUCUCAACUUCAUUUUAUCUAAUAGCGUUAGAUAUACCUCGAUACCAAAAGAAGCCUUAGUUAGGGGCACAAAAAGUGUUUGCUUUUCGGUCUUUUCAAAUAUACUCUUUUACUACCACAAACAUUUUUUAUUUGCCCUUAAGUUAAGGGCAAAAGUGGUAUUUUAUUUUUUUUUAAACAGUGAUAGAUAUUUAACUCACGUUUAACCUAAGUUAACUUAACGGAUUGUAACUGUAGGGGUAUUUUGAAAUAGCGGAGGAACAUUUGAGGGGUAUAGUAGAAAGAAAAAAAGAGUAGGAAUAAAUGAGAUAUUUUUAAUAUUUUGAGGGGUAUAUAGAUAAUUAUUCAUAGUAUUUUCCAUUACCAUAAUGAUGAAGUUUGAUUUACUAUCAUAAAGAACUCAGAAACAUAUCAAACAUUUAUUUAUAACAUGUAAAUAUAAUCUACUCUCUUUUUUUUCUUUAUGUUUUUUUCUUGCAAAAAUUGUCCAUACAAGGUCUUGUAUUUGAAACAAUUUUUAUGAAGUUGUAGUAGUGCUGCUCCUUGGGCCAAGUACUGUUCAAUAAUGUAAAAAAUUCGUUAUUUUUUAAAAACUUAAACUGAUAAAAAAAAAUAAUAUUUUAAAUUUUUUUUUUUUAUAUUUAACACUUUUUUUUAUAUCUGCACUUGAGAAUUUUUGGAAAGCGUAAGCUGGUAAAGAAUGUUGUUUUUAUACUUUUUAUAUUUAACACUCUAUGUUCGGACUUGAGAGCUUUUGAGAGGCUUACGGCGUGUACUUGAAUUAAAUAGAAAAAAUUAAUUAUGCUCGAAAUUUAGCGUUACUCGAAUUAAGCACCUCAUAUUCUGAUAUCAUGUUAAAUAAUAAUGUGAAUAACUGUUAUUCUCCAAAUUCUUAACUUAGUAGAGAAUGGUAAUUUUUAUUUUGAUUGAGAAAUGUCUUUUUCACUAAAAAAGAUAGUGGGAUUACCGGGCUAAGUUCUGAUUAAAAAGGACAUAUUUGUUUCACCAAACAUAAAAUUCACACUGAAGCUUGACGUAGACUUUCGAAUAAAUUAAAAUUCAGAUAAAAAUUCUCUCUCUUUUACUAUUUAUUUGUAUAGUUGUGGAACUAAAAGUUUUUCUAAUUAAUUUUUUUAUUUGACAAGAAGUGAGCAGAAGAAAAGCUAGCGUGUGAAAAUGGAUUAAUGAUCAUUUAUCUUUUUUCUCACCUUUUUUUUCUAUAGUUGACUUUAGAGUGGACUGAAGUCAAUUAUGGAAUUUUUAAAAAAUUGAGUUUCGACCGAAAAAAAAAAAGUUACACUAAAUCAAACAAAAUAUAAAUUUUCAAUUCUCUUUACUUUUAAUAAAAUAAACAAACAUAAAAUAUUUUUUGAUUGAGAGACAGUGCAAUAAACCUCUAGGCAAGGUCUUUUUUUUGGAUAUUGAAACACAUUGCCAAAAUUCUAUGUAAUUUUGCUCUUUUUAAUUUGCUGCUCUAUGUAAUAAUUAAAAGAAAAAUCUCCCCAAAAUUAUGCCCAUGUUUUGAAGAAACGAAAAAAGGUAAAAAGAGAAUGUGCUCAUUAAUAAAAGGAAAAACUUCAAAUACCACCCCUGUGGUUCUACACUUUCUUACUUUAGUGUUCUGUGGUUUAAAAUGUAUCAAUUUAAUGCUCUGUGGUUUCUUUUUUAUCUUUUUAUUAUCGAUUUCAUUAAGUUUUUUCGUUAAAUUAGUGAUAAAGUUAAAACUAAAUGAUACUAAGAUGAAUAGUCGAUAAACCUAGGUGGGGUAUCUGGAGUUUUUUUUGUGUAUAAUUUAACAAAAUAUUAACGAAAAAACUGAUGAUGAGAUAAAAAUAAAGCAACAGAAUACUAACUUGAUACACUUUAAACCACAUAAUAUUAAAGUGAGAAAGUGUGAAACAACAGGGAUGGUAUUUGAAGUUUCCCCUUAAUAAAAGAAUGUGCUCAUUAACAAAAAAUUCCCACUGUGUGGGAUGUUUGGGGCCAUUUGAUUAUUUGGGCCAAAACAAUCUUUUGCUAAAGAAUGUGCUCAUUAACAAAAAUUUAUUAUUAUUCUUAUUAGUAGUAGUAAUAGUAGCAGUACGAAUUAAGAAAGAAGUUUGAUUAAGAAAAAUAAAUAUAGACGGAAAUAAAGAAAACUCCUCUCUGACUUUUAAAAAGCUGCACUUAGCCUGCUCAAAAUUUCAGAACUAUUUUUGGAGAUUACGACAUUAACGGAGAGUGCGAAAUGGUAAAACUGUUUCCUACUCGUUUUGAAAAAAAAAAAACUUUUGAAUAUAUUUUUACUAUUUUCAAAGGUAUUCUCAAUAUAUUCUGUCAUAAAUUUUAAGAAAUUGAUAUAAUAGUAAUGAAACCUCGACGGCUAGGGAAUAAAAUUUUGAGAGACCAAAACAUAAAAUUUUGAAACUCUGGAGGAGAAAGUAAAAAAACUAGUAUUUACAAGAGAUUUUUUUUUUAUAUAUUUUAGCCAAAUUAAUACUAUCCUCUAAAUGAGAAUUAUAAGAGAGCAACUGUAAAAUUGAAAUAGAAAAUAGGUGAUGCUAUUUGUAUACUCAAAGGAAAAAAUAAUACAAAUCUUAUGUCUUAGCAUCUAAGGGUUAUUAUUAAUCUGUGUCUUGUCAAUUUUUUUUUACAAUACUAAAAAGGCCAAUUUGCAUAAAAAGUUCACUAGUUUUGCGAUUUCGCAAAACUGUGCCACUAUUUUGAAUUUUAUAGAUUCACAUCGAAAUUUUAGAAAACUGACGAAAAUAUUCUUAUUCCUUUUUCUCUCGUUCUUUUUUUCAUGUCCGACCCUUGUCGCCUCCUACACUAUCUCCGCAGCCCUCGGCGACUGUAAUGAGGGUGGCGCUGCCUCAUGUUCCUUCGCCUCCGCCUCCGCCUCUAUCGGCGCCGGCACUGACGUCGGCACCGGAGGAGGAGAACAUGGAGCCACCUCCGCCUCCGUCGGUGCCGAAGGAGGAGAACUUGGAGUGGGCCCGAGUGACGGCGGACCUGACGGAAGCGACAAGGUCAUGACUGAGGAGGUGCUCGCCGCCCGUGAGGAUAUGGAUAUAGAAGCACCAAUCUCCAAGGAGCAGAAAGAGAUGUAGAAAGUAGGAAAAAAAGAAUAAAAAAAUAAAGAAAAAAUUUUCUUCUUGAAAGACCAUUGUAUAUCAUUGCUAUUACAGAAAAUGCCAAGAAUCAGAGAAGAAGAAAGUAGAAGAUGGAUGUUGCACUGUUAAAAUAAAAUUGUACUAUUUCAUAAAAAAAAAUUACACUGUUUGAGAUGAACGUUGCACUCUUUAAGAUAAAAAUUGUACUCUUUAAAACAAAAGUUGUACUUUUUCGAUAAAAGUUACAUUAUUUUAGAAAAAAUUGCACUCUACCUUUCAUGGCGACCACCUUCGCCAACGCAAGCCUCUUCACUCUACGCGCCGCGUCGGAGCGCCGAAGUCCAGAGACGUCCCACCUCCCCUGUGCAAGGCUCGCCCUAUUCCCACACAGUGGCGGUGUUCCGCCACCGCCACCGCCACCGCCACCGUUGGCGCCAUGUUUAACAAGAUCAUUAAGCGUGGUGGCCGCAAAGUGCCUGAAUCAGAGUCCUCCUCCCUCGACCUUUCCUCCCUCUCUCCCUCAUUCUCUCCCCCGCUCGUCUCCAUCAACCAUGCCUCUUGCUGAGCCGCCGCCGCCGUUGUUACACCCUUGCUCUCCUCGGGCUCCUCCUCCUUCGCAAUCGCCGCCACCGCAUCAUCUCCACCGCCGCCUCCACCACUUCCGUCACUGCACCAGGGGAAUCAGGGCGGCCAUAGCGCUCACCAGGUGUUCGAGAUCGAGCCCCUCCCUUGCUCCGCAACAUGCAAACGCCGGACCGCCCCAUACUCUUCCUUUGCAAGCUUUGGGUCUGCUCCUUCCUCUUUGUCUCCUCUGCUAUGCCGUCUCCUUCGACAUCGACACCCCCACCGCGUGGGAAUAAGGCGAGCCUCGCGCGAGAGAGGUGGGUCACCUCCACGUUUCGGGGCUCCAACAUGCGGGGUGGACAGGCUCGCGCUGGCGAGGAUGGUCGCCAUGGAAGGUAAAGUACAAUUUUCUCUGAAACAAUGUAACUUUUAUCGAAAGAGUGUAACUUUUAUUUCAAAGAGUAGAAUUUUUAUCUCAAAGAGUGUAAUAUUUAUCUCAAACAGUGCAAUUUUUUUGUGAAACAGUGUAACUUUAUUUUAACAGUGCAAUAUUCAUCUUCUUCUUAUCUGAUUUCUGGCCUUUAUUGUAACAAUGACGAUAUAUAAUGAUCUUUCAAAUAAAUUUUUUUUUAUUCUUUUUUUUUUUUCUACCCGCUACAUUUGUUUUCGCUCCUUCGAGAUGGAUGCGUCUUCGUCCUCACCCUCAUGGGUGACGUGCACUUCCUCGGCCGACCUCAUUAUUUUCGUCCGUUCCGCUCUCACCUGCACCCACUCUGAGUUUCCUCCUCCGGCGCCGGCGUUGGUGCUAGCGGAGGCAGAGGUGGAGGCGCCUCCGAGUUCUCCUUCGGCGCCGAUGUUGGUGCCGACAACAGUAGAGGCGGUGGAAGAGGCACCGCCUUUAUUACUGUCACCGAGGGCCGCGGAGGCAAUUGAGGAGGCAACGAGGGUCAGAAAGGGAAAAAAAAUGAGUAAAAAAAAAAAGAAAAUAGAAAAAUAGUAUUUUUUGUCUGUUUUCUAAAAAUUUGAUCCAAAUCUACAAAAUUCAAAAUAGGUUUCCAUUUUUACAAAAUUAUUACAAAAUUAAUGAAUUUUUUAUACAAAUCGGCCUACUAAGAUCUAAAAGAAAAAUAAUCCAAAAACAACAAAAAUUUCUAAACGCUCCAAAAGAUGCCAUCAUAUAUUUUUAAAGUGAAAAAAAAAAAGAAAAAAAAAGAAAAAGAAAAAGAGAAAAAAUAAAAAACAGUGACCCCUUUCUCUUCUCUCCUCCCGUUUGCGAAGGAUCGAGAGAUCGAGAGAGAGAGAGAGUGGGAGAGAUUCGGCGAUCGGUGACGAUGAAGGCGCCGCCACCAGCGGCGGCGAGGGAACGGCGAGCGUUGGCGGCGGUGAGCACGGGGGCGGCGGCGCUCUCUCUCGGGGGCUCCACCUUCAUCGUGCUCUGCUACGUCCUCUUCAAGGAGCUCCACAAGUUCUCCUUCAAGCUCGUCUUCUUCCUCGCCCUCUCCGUAAGCCCUCUCCCCUUCUCCCUCUUUCCUCGAAUCUGUUCUUUCCUAGCUCAGAUUCGUAUGAUAGGCUGCGGAAUUAGGGUUUCCACGAGGUAAAAAUGUGUGGAGAACCCCUCGAUGGCCAUUUUGAGAUUUCCCCUUCAGCUUUAGAAUUAUCGAUUAACACUCCCCGUAACUUUUGAUUUUGAGUGAUUUUAGUCGAAUAAAUUGGUUAUUUUAUCAAAUUCAUCGACUAUUCCAUCCAAUUCAAUGGUUUUUAUCGAUUUUUAGCAAAUAAUACUGGACCAAUUAGUGGUUAAUAACCGACUUAACUUACUAGAAUAACAUAAAUUGAAAAAUUAGAAGUGAAUGGUUCUCAAUCGGAAAAAAAGCAAAGCCGAGGGGCCUAUUUCAGAAUGGCCUGUAUAGUUGAGGGAUCUCUAUACAUUUAGCUUUUUUUUGGAGUGGAGUGGAUAUAGUUAAUUAAAUUAGAGGUUUAUUAUAUUCUACUGCAUUUCUGUUAAAUUUUAAUGCUUGUAGAUAACUUUUAGCGUUGGAAUCGCAACAAUUAACAGUUAAUGUCUGACGAAGCUGUUAAAUUUUCAACAUUUUUAACUUAAACCAAGUGUAAUAACUUAGAUCAGAAGCAUACGGUGUUGAGAGGGAGCCAAAUAAAAGUUGAAGGGUCUAUUUCACAACGGGCUAUAUUUCGAGACGGUCUCAGUGCAUUUUUUGCCUUUUAUACUAAUACCUCUCUGAUUCAAAGCUGUUUUUGGCCUCCUUUGUAAUAUGGAAACACUAAUAAAUGUAGUGAUACACUACAUGUGGGCUUCCUUAGAAGAUUUCAAGUCCUCUACUUAUGAUUUGUGAUGCUUUUUUUGGACCUUGUCAAAACUCUUGUCGAUGUUUUAUUUGCGGUUAUUUUCUCUUAUCUUUUAAAAUCGUCUGUAAUCCAGAACGUUUAGUUGAUAAGUUGCAUCUGUCUUGCAGGAUAUGUUUUGCAGCCUCUUCACCAUAAUAGGGUAUGUUCCUUUUUUUUUCUCAGUAGCUCUUCUGAUGCUAUCAUUCUUUGUGAGAUUCUUUAUCAUCUUUUAGAGUAAAUUCACUCAAGAACACUAGUUUAUCCUUGAUUAUAGAAAAAGCUGAACUCUUUUCCUAUAGGAAUUGAUAACAUAGGGAUAUUUGUACCGCCAGAGUUGCACCAAAUGGGGGAUAUAAUUCUUCCAACAUGAUUCCCGAAAUGUACCACUACAUAUAGCCCUAGUUUAGAAUUUCAUAUUAAGGUUAUUAGCAAUUUGAGGAUCUUUUUGAUAAUUCCUUAUCCAGCUUAUUUUCAAUGGUACAAAUAUCUCAUCCCUAGUUCAGUUUCUUUACUUUUUCUUCUUCUGUUUUGGACUAGUCUGGAUCGCUGCCAGCUUUUGUUAAUUUUCAUUUGACCGACCCCUUGCUUCAAGGAAUUGGGUUACCUUCACUUCGACCGAUAAAUUUAUGGGCAGACUGUGAGAUGCUGUAGUAUAUGAAUACAUACAACAUUCUAAUGAGUUAUUCUGACGACCAUAUGCUUAGUUGCAUGUCAAAUUUAGCUUUUGUCCUGUGGGAACAUGUUGCUUUGCUUUGAUCACUUCAUGCAUAAAUGUAUCUGAAUCCGAGGAACGAAUUAGAUCAGAAUUAGCACCUGCCUGAUAUGCAUGAGUAAUGUGAAGUGAGGACAACUCUAACAGAAUAUACUUGGUGCUCAAAAGGGUGAAGUAGUAUAUGUCUAUAUGGUAUACCUUGUCGAAGUCUAUUAUAAUGACUUUAACUGUGAUGAAUAAGAUUCGAAGGUUGUUUUGGUCCUCUUUUAUCAUAAUAUCAUAAUCCCCUUGUUUUUCAUCAUUCUUUAAAUAAUGAAUAAUGACUCCUGCAGAAUGACACUUCUUUAUCUUUCAGCGACCCAUCAAAUGGAUUUUUCUGCUAUGCUCAUGACUACAGUGCACACUUCUUUUGUGUGGCAUCGUUUUUGUGGACUACAACGAUUGCAUUCACUCUUCAUCGUACAGUUGUUAAACAUAAAACGGAUGUUGAAGACUUUGAAUCUGUUUUCCACCUGUAUGUAUGGGGUAUGCUUUCUGCUUGCAUGGCUUAUUUUUCUCACUGAUCCUUUGUUAGAGUAUGACAAUAAAUGGUUGUUCUUUUCUUGGUAUUUUUGCCAAAAAAGGAUUCACUUUUUUCUUUUUUUGAAUUUGCAAGAAUGCGUCACUUUUUAUGUUUUUCAAACAUUAGCCGACUUCUAAAUAGGUAUAAAGUUCUUCAUGAAAUGACCAUGAUGCACAGUUUUAAACUGCGGCUCCUCCUUUUGAAGCUGUAUUUGACAAUUUAUUGUUGUAUCCCAAAAUUCCUUUCUUACUAAUUUAGUGUUUCCAUUAUUAGUUUGUUAACUUUUGCUGUUCUGCAUUGCCACCCAAGUUAGUUGUUGCCUGGAUCUGAUUUAGUGUUUCCAUUAUUAGUUUGUUAACAUUUGCUGUUCUGCAUUGCUAGCCAAGUUAGAUGCUGCUUGGAUCAGUAGAAUUAAUUUCCAACAAGCAGCCCUUAUUUUGAUAACAGUGGUUUCAGGUGCUGACCGAAGCUUGAUUUUGUUCCUACUAUUCCCUAGAGUGUUUUUGUUGAUUGUGAUUUUAGUAGCAGCUUAUCCAUCAUGUUUUUUUUUUUUUUGUCUUCCGCCAAGAACUUACGCAUUAAAUUUGACAAUGAUUUGGUUUCUUUUGGUAAACAUAGUUUAAAUGUCAUGUAGCUUUUUCAAAGGUUUAUAAAAUUGUAAGCAUAAAUCUGCGCUAUUGCAGGAACCUCACUUGCUAUGACUAUUAUACGUGCAAUUGGCAGUGAUUAUGGACGGCCUGGUGCGUGGUGCUGGACUGAACCUGCAAAUACUGGAAAGGUGUGAUACUGGUGUCUACUACUUUGUUUAUAUCAUAAUUAAUUACUUGUAGGUUGCACUACAGGUUUUCUGGAAAUAUAUGCUUUCUGAACACUGUUAACCUAUAUUGCCAUCGUCAACAAAAAAAAAAAGUUGAUAUGUGAUAAGUUUUGUCUGAGUAAAAGAUUGCUGCCUAUGACUUUCCGAGUAAGUUGCCUGUAGGAGGAGGCAAGAUCCCUCCUUUUUAUGUUCUUUUUGUUGGAGGAUAUGUUUGUUUCUUCUUUAUUCAAAGUUUGAGUGAGUAGGCUAGUAGUAAACUUGUUUAUUUUACAUUUCAGGAUUUCCUAAACAGUUUGGUUAGGUUGUUCAUUAAUAAACAUCAUUGUGCUCAGAUCCCAGAGGAAAGAAAAAACUCACUUGGCUCUAGGAGAAACUUCGUUUUUGUAAGAAACAUUUCUUUCUUUCUAAAAUUUUUCUGAAAACUAUAUAUAUAUAUAUAUAUAUUUCUAGAUUUCAGGUAUGAAUGGAUCUCAGGAUAGAAUUUAAAUUUUUUGUCCAUUACGCCUUUAGGUUUUCCAGUCUUGAUUAAGUUAGGAAUACAUUGAUUUAUGAAGUGAGUAGUUAUAUUGAAGAGAAUCCAGAGAGACAAAACAUUUCUAGGAAAAAUGCAGACUAUAAGUAUCUUCCACUUUCUAAAUGAUCUAUUCUAUAUAGUACUAGGAACCCAAUUUUCAUGCAUCACGAUAGAUGGGAAUUAUAUGUAAUGACAAGUACAAAAUCUUUAGUUUGUUUCUACAUAUCCUUUAUUUGCAUCUACUUUUCAAGUUCAAGUGGUAACAACCAAGAGUUCUGAUAAUGGGAUCUUGUAGCAUCUUCUUUUGUGUAGUUUUGACUUGGAUUGUUCUGUUUGUUUGCUCUUGCCAAGUAUUUGUGCUGUUGCCAUACUCAAUUUUCUUUUUCGAGUAAUUCAAUUUUGUCUAUUUUCUCCGGUUUUACUCUUCCAUUCCAUGAUUUCUAAUUAAUUACAGGUAGCGCACUUGAUAACAUUUUAUGGUCCAUUGUGGGGUGCAAUUCUUUACAAUGGUUUUACAUAUUUUCAAGUAAAUCGCAUGUUGAACAAUGCGACAAAGGUAUGUUGCACAUUACGCUGACUAAUUUAGUGAGCUGUUUUGGCAGUAACUAUUGGUCCGGAAAUUGUUUCAUAAAUACCUUAUUCUGCUCUGCUCCUUUUUUGGCAUUCUUAGGUUAUGUCUCAUGUUUUGUGAAACAAAUUGCAGAUGGCUGUUGGCAUGGGUGGAUCAAACCAAUUUGAUACAAGGGCAGAUAGGAAGGUAUCCCUUUGUUCUCCCGACUACUUUUUGUUCAGAGUUUCUAUGUCGUGGUUGUUUUCAGUAUUAUAUGCGCUUCAGAUGUUUGAAUUCUAUUUCUUCAUGGAAGUUGCUCCAUUUCAAACUUACCAUAACUCAAUGCUUAAAUUACACCAUUUAGGUGCACAAUAUGCACGCAGAUAAACUCACACAGACGCACGAACAUGCAUAGACAUGUUUGUUCAACGUGAACAUAGUAUCUGAAUUCAUACAUAAAAACAUUGUCCUUCCUGUUAGAGCAAUGAUGCCACAAUGGCCAAUUAUGAACAAAGUUAACCGUUCGCUCUUGCACUUUGAUUUGUUUGCAGGCAUUCAAUCGGUGGGGUUACUACCCUUUGAUUUUAAUAGGCUCUUGGGCUUUUGGAACCAUCAACCGUCUAUAUGACUUUGUUAAUCCAGGCCACAAGAUCUUCUGGCUUUCAUUGCUUGAUGUUGGAUUUGGUGGACUUAUGGUAAGUACUAGUGUAACUUUCUGUUCACGGUGUUUCUUCUCAAAUUCUGAAGAUAGAAUUUUGUUCUCUUAUUUUUCUUUGGUAUUAUGAUAUGAUCAAUCAGACCGCAAUCUAUCUCAAGUUUUCCUUUACAAUUCUGGCAGUCGCAAAAUAAUUUCCUAGUUAGCAGUAAUCUCUUUCAUCAAGGACUUCUUUUCCCCUGUUUUAAGUUGCGUCUGGGUUUGACUUUGCUUUGCACAUUAUCUAUAAAUAAAGUCACCCUUCAUUCACAACUAUUUGUGGUUGGCUUUAUGGAUUUGAUUCCUAUGUUCCAGUAUCACAUGGGCAAGAUUAUUCCCGGCCAAGUGCAAUUAUGUUUAUUCUUACUACUCUUUAGGCACCUUCAAGCUGAACAAAUCCUCUACUCAAUCAUUGUGAUCUGUAGAAUAGUGUCUCCAAGCAUCUGUUAAGUAUUAUUUGAUUUCUUAUUGGCUUGGAGGCUUGUCGGAACUUAAUUACAUCAUAUUUUUUUUUGGAGGAACUAUUUAGAAAGUAUGCAUACAGUAUAUAUGAUCUAGAUACGUACCUCUUAACCGCUUUUUUUGUGAGAACCCCUAAAGCCCUAACCCUUAAGAUGACCAGUGAAAUUGUAGUGUUAAGGACUGAUAAAGCAGAUGGGAGUAGAAGGUUAUGCCAGACUGCAGACAAUUAUCUGCUGCCUGUGGUUUCUUCAGUUUACCGGCUUAUAUGUAGGCGAACUAGAGGGCUUAAUUACAUUUUUACUGGCCAACUAUUUAUACAGUUAAUAGGUAUAAAAGUCGAUGAAUAUAUGGAUGGCGAUUUUAUUUUCUUAAUGAAUUUAUGCAUUAGGCCUAUUUGUAUGGCGCAAAUGGCAUCAUCUGUGAUUACCAAUGUUGGUAUCCUUGGCUUUGGUUUUCCCCUCAUAACUGUUUUCCAUUUUUCGUGGCGUAGGGACUCUUCAAUUCGAUUGCUUAUGGGCUCAACUCCUCUGUCCGUAGAGCAAUUUCGGAAAGAGUCGACAUGUAAGUUAUAAGCAGUUCUGAAACUUCACAGGCAUAGAGAUCUAAUUUAAAAUCGCCAUACACUUAAAAAUUAGGAACAAGUUUUUAUUCUAAGUAUUGUACGUCCUAAUCAGGUGGAUACCGGAGAGAUUCGGAAGAUGGCUUCCUACUUGGCUGAAACCCAGAAGUCAACAGCAAGAAAACGAGCUCGUUUCACUUAUCGUUGAGGGACAAAGAUAGUAAAUUUCCAAUUCAGCUCUUUUUAUUCAUUUCAUGACACAAUUCAUUUAGACUCAUCAAGUUCAUUGGCGAGAAGAACAAGAGAAAUUGACGAAGAAUACCGAUUCAAAGCAGCUGCUCUACUCUACCUUCAUUUUUUCAUCUUGGUUUUUGCAGAUAUCGACACCAUUAAUAUUCUCUCUCUUAUAUUCCUGCUAUUAUUGUUUGUAGAGUUUUUCUUGGGGAAAAUCUUGAGGAUGGUAAGGAUAGGGUGGAGAGAAUUACUUGCAAAUAGAAUGCUCAAUAGAUUAGGAAUGUAAAUUGUUGUGCUCAGAUUAUUUUGUUUCCUGUUUUCCCCCUCUCCAGUGUAUCAUUGUCAGUAUAUUUUUUGAGUUCAUACCACUAUUUUUUUUUUUUUCUCUUUUUUCUUUGGAAUAAAUCUUAUCACAGUUUGUGGGUGAGCUAGCAAUUGUUUUUCGUAGAAUUACCAUACUUACGAUUUGGCCCUCUUUGUUUGCCCUUAUUUGAUUUUCAAGUUGGAAAUGACUUUCUGAUGAACUGAAGCUCGGGUAAAUAUUAUUUUUCCACCCUUGUUUGGUUGAUCGCAUGUUAAUGGCUUUGGAACUGUUGUUUAAGUUCUCAUUUUAAAUCAAUUGUAAUUUUUUCAUCUUCUUUUUCUAAUUCUAAUAGAAAGAAAAUUCUAAAGAAAAGGUUUUUCAAACCAUAAAAAAGUCUUUUCAUUUUUCUCUUCUUUAAGUCUUCCCAAUUCCCAAUUACCUUGAUAGGUAUCAAGAUAAGAAUCUUCGUGAACUGGGCUAUCUUUAUAGCAUGUCUCUUUAAAGUGAAAGUGGAAUUCAUCCUUUGUUUUUUCCGAGUGAAUCGUAAGAGAAAAAAUAUCUUUUUUUUUCAAUUUGUUGUCAGUCGGGGCGAGGGCCUUGCUCUGCUCUAGUUCACCUCCGGUAUCUGUAUGAAGCCUAAUCACUUAGUGUAAAGUCCCGGAGGUGAACUAGAGCAGUCCUUAAGGGGAUUUCUAAGGGGACAGAGUCCCCUUAGACCACGUAGCCCAGUUUGGCGUUAGCCAAUUCCCACCGGUAGGUGGAUGUGAGGCUUCGCGAAUCUCUGGACCCAUAAAAAGUGGAAUUUGUGCUUGUGGAAAUUAUCGAGUGAUCAGAGCUGAAAAAGAAGACCCGAAAUUUUGCGAACAAUGCGGGGUAGAAUUUGUUGACUCUCGGAUACGAAGAUAUCAAAUGGGAUACAUCAAACUCGCAUGUCCAGUGACUCAUGUGUGGUAUUUGAAACGUCUUCCUAGUUAUAUCGCGAAUCUUUUAGAUAAACCCCUUAAGCAAUUAGAAGGCCUAGUAUACUGCGAUGUGUGAUUUGAUCAAGAUUUUCAUUUUACAGAUUCGGAUUGAUUUUCAUUUAUUGUUUGUUUCCCUAAAAAUUUUCACAUUAGCAUAUAAAUGGAUGAAAAGAAGUAACAUUAGUUAAUUUUUCAGUAUCCAUUUAUAAGGCCUUUUGAGAAGGGCCAAGUCAAUUACGGUGGAUUUAAUUUAUAGCAAAUAAAAUAACAAAAGCGGACGAAUUUAAUUUAUAGCAAAUCAAAUAACAAAAGUGAAUAUUUACGGUCGAGAAUAGUUACACCCCCUUCCUCUUUCUGUAAAAGAAACAUGCCUCAGCCAAAAGAACACAAAUUCACCCCUCCAACUACAUAAAUACACGCAAAUCGACUAUAUUUGCACUGAAUCAUCCUAUUACAAAAGCUUCUGCUUCUUCAACAGUGAAUUUGUUCUGAAAAAAGACAUCUGAAAAUAAGCAUAAAUCCUGCAGCUUAGCAAGCAUUGAGCCUAUUGUUUUAAGUGCCGUAGCAGUUUUUCUUAUGAUUUCACAGAAAAAAAGUGGAACAUUACAAUGAGAUUGCUCUCAAUUGCACACAACAUGAUGAGAAUAAAUGAAUAUGCGAACAUGUCACUUGUACAGCUGUAUGAUAACCACUCUUAUGUACAAUUCAACAGAGCAUCCGCGAUAUAUCCGCCGUGAUCUUAUGCCCCUCUUUCGCGGUGGUGGCACAACGCGUUCGCGCAUGAGCUUCUAUGAAGAAUAGUCUCAGCAUGAAUCGCCGAAUUUGGGUACUUCUUCUUGUGCCUGUAGUGGUAACACUGGUGUUCUCCUUUCACUGGUGUUUCAAUCUCCAUCUCCAUUUUCUCCUUGUUAUUACUACUAUUAUCUUCUUUCUUUUCCUCAACCAUCACUUUAUAAACAAAAGGGUCCCCAAAAGAUGAAUCACUGAACUCCAAAAGAGACUCCAAAGCCUCAACAAUGUCCCUCAUAUUUGGCCUUGAUUUUGGGCUCUGGCUUAAGCAAUUGUAGGCUACAAGAGCAACUUUUUGUGCACCCUUUGUGGAGUAUUGGAGGUCCAGGUUUGGGUCCAUAAUCCGGUACAGCUUAUCGGGCUUUUUCAAACACGGUCGGGCCCAUUCGAUGAGGUUCUUCUCCCUCCUCCGGCGGGUGCGGUCGACGCACGGCCUCCCGGUUAGUAGCUCUACUAAUACCACUCCGAAGCUGUACACGUCGCUCUUCGUUGUAAGAUGACCUGGAGAUUACACAAU